UCCUCCCUCCCCUACCCUGAACCCCCCCCCCCCGAUUGGAUCUCACUUCGUGGAGCUCUUUCUCCCCGUUGGUGUGGAAAGACUGCUUCACUUCUUCUUCCUCCUCCAAAGCCAUGAAUCCCGGUAACAAAAGCUCCUCUCUUCUUCUAUUUGGUUGUUCUUCGUGUUCUAGGGUUAGGAGCAUUGGGGAUUGGAUUCAUCUUGUUGAUCCUAUGGUUAGUUAUUGGAUGGCAUGAAGGAAAUUUUUGAGGGGAGUAUAGGUCCAAUGGUUGUUGUUAUGAUUGCUGCCAUGGUUUAGGAUUUCACCGUCUUAGAUUGAAUAUUUGAACUUUUGGAUUAGAUCUGAAACGUGCUCUCUCUUGCCUAGGCAUGUUUGCACCUCGUAUUACUAUGUGUUCCUCUUGUCAUUAGGGCUGGGGUGUACGCCUUAAUGUUCAUAUUCAGUCCAUGCCCUCGAAAACAAGUUUUACAUGUGUAGAUCUGAAAGUCAAACCCCCAGCGGUACUACCGCCAGGGGUAGCGGUACUACCGCUAUGACCCCCAGCGGUACUACCGCCAGGGGUAGCGGUACUACCGCCAGGCCCCAGCGGUACUACCGCCGGGGGUGGCGGUACUACCGCCAGAAGCAUUCACGGUGUAUUUCUCUUUUGCUUAGCAAUGCAUGUUUUCGUUUUCUGCUCUUUCAAGAUCCAUUGCCUUGACUUUUCCUGUCGCCUCUUUUUCGCUUUGUGGUCUGUGUCACAGGUGGCUCUGCUCGCCGUUCGAACCCCCCACGGGACACGGCAUCCAAACAGUUUCGCAACACAGAGGUGCCCGAGGGGUCUGCCACGUCUGGUCUCCCCCCAAAGAAGAAGUCCUUCAAGAAGGUCGCUCACAAGGACAAAAGGGUGAAUAUCCGCACAAUGUCUCCGAAGGAUUUUCUGCAAUUUCGCACCAAGAACCACUAUCUCGAGGAGAGGGAGAAGAUCGAUGGUGUUGAAAAUGUCUGGGUUAAGGACCAUUGCAGGAUAUAUCGAGAUGUCAUUGCAAACUUCAAGAAGAACUAUGUCUCUGUCCAGUGGAUUGAUCUGGCACACCUUCAGCGGCACACAGAGUACUUUGGUGAUGCCCUUGCUUUGAUUGACAAGAUGGGCCUCAAAAACAUCAUCACCUUCAGGACGGAUUUUGAUCCUACGGCAGUUGCUCAGUUCUAUGUCACAGUUCACUUCUCCCAUGAUGAACAGCGCUCCAUGAUAUGGAUGACUGGGUCAAAGAAGAUGACUGGUUCCUGGACAGAGUUCAUGCAGUUCCUGCACGUUGAUUUUCAGGGUGCUGACACCCCUCUUGGGCUGCGUCCUCACGCUCCAGUCCCCUCUGAUAAGGGCCUCGCAAAGGACAGACUGCAGACACUAUAUCUGAGGAAGGGGGUGCUUCCCAAGCACACCUAGACAUCAUGCACCGCAUCUUUCGGAACACCCUCUUCCCUCGGAGUGGUAACUUCGAUGAGGUCCAUGGCUCCUUGGCUGAGAUGUUGUUACUGUGUGAGGAGGCUAUGUCUGUGGAGUCUGCUCAACUAGAUAUUGCAGAUGUGAUGUUCACAGAACUAUGGAACUGCAUCAUCAACCGUAAGGUCCCUAUCUACGGGCCUUACCUGUUUGCAUACAUCUGCCAUAAGUGGCAACAGGCGUUCCCAGAUGAGGUGCUCUACGCGCAGUCUGACUACAUUGUGCAUGACCCAAUCAAGCUGCGCGUCAAGGACAGGUGGGCCAACCCAUCUUCAUCUUCUCAGCACAUGGACACUGAUAUAGAGACGGCUGCUGGUAGAGGACCUGCCUCUCAGUCCCGCUCGUCUGCCAUGCCAUCUUGGGCUAUCAAGUUGCAGGACAAGAUGAAGACUCUCUUCUGUAUGCAGGCCAAGGGUCAGUAUCAGACACACGUGGCUCAGAAGCAGAGCCGCCAGAGGCAUAAGCGUGUUCUCAGGACCUUGGAUGUGGACAUCUCCAGUGGCUCAGAGGACGACAUCACGCCUGAGGCUACUUGGAUGCAGGCUCAGGGGUACCAGUGGUCGGGUGAUGAGGCGCAAGAGGAGGAGGAGACUGACCAGGAGGGGACCGACGAGUCUGGUGAUCCUGAAGACGAGGAGUAGCUACCUGUGACAUUAGGUGUGCCCCCUUUUUGGUGUCUUGUGCCAAAGGGGGAGAGAGUCUAGGGAUUUGAUUUCAUUCGAACUUUGCAUUGCUUUGCUUUAUCUCGUUUGAUUUGCUUUGAACUUGGUUUGCUUCGUUUGCUAUCUUGUGUGAGACAUGAUCUUUCUUAUGUGAGAUUAUAUUUAUUUCCAUCAUAUGCUGUGAGUCAUAUGUCAUAUAUCUCUAUCUUCUUUACUCUCAUAUUAUUAUCCAUGCAAAUCCGGUAUUGUCAUCAAUCCACCAAAAAGGGGGAGAUUGUUGAGGCAUAAUUUAUGCGUAAGUAAUUUUGGUGAUUGAUGACAGUUCCGUACAGGACUAAUCGUGUGUGUCAAGGUUUCAGGCAACACUCGUCAACGGCACAAGACGACACGACUCCUCUCUUCUGGAACGGAAGCAUGGCGCCCUCCUAGAUUCUCUUUAUUUCAGUCAUAGGAAAGCCGUACUAUUAAGAGGGGAUCCGUAGGGGAAAGGUUUUGGGUGGAAUCUAUCUUUGCACACGCACACCUCUUCUUCUCCCUCUCCUUUAUCUUUGGAGCGGCCCUCGCCGUUUUGUUCUUUGCUUCUCUGCAAAAUGGUCCCCAGCGGUAGUACCNNNNNNNNNNNNNNNNNNNNNNNNNNNNNNNNNNNNNNNNNNNNNNNNNNNNNNNNNNNNNNNNNNNNNNNNNNNNNNNNNNNNNNNNNNNNNNNNNNNNNNNNNNNNNNNNNNNNNNNNNNNNNNNNNNNNNNNNNNNNNNNNNNNNNNNNNNNNNNNNNNNNNNNNNNNNNNNNNNNNNNNNNNNNNNNNNNNNNNNNNNNNNNNNNNNNNNNNNNNNNNNNNNNNNNNNNNNNNNNNNNNNNNNNNNNNNNNNNNNNNNNNNNNNNNNNNNNNNNNNNNNNNNNNNNNNNNNNNNNNNNNNNNNNNNNNNNNNNNNNNNNNNNNNNNNNNNNNNNNNNNNNNNNNNNNNNNNNNNNNNNNNNNNNNNNNNNNNNNNNNNNNNNNNNNNNNNNNNNNNNNNNNNNNNNNNNNNNNNNNNNNNNNNNNNNNNNNNNNNNNNNNNNNNNNNNNNNNNNNNNNNNNNNNNNNNNNNNNNNNNNNNNNNNNNNNNNNNNNNNNNNNNNNNNNNNNNNNNNNNNNNNNNNNNNNNNNNNNNNNNNNNNNNNNNNNNNNNNNNNNNNNNNNNNNNNNNNNNNNNNNNNNNNNNNNNNNNNNNNNNNNNNNNNNNNNNNNNNNNNNNNNNNNNNNNNNNNNNNNNNNNNNNNNNNNNNNNNNNNNNNNNNNNNNNNNGUAUGUCAUUCCCUUUGUCCUUCGGUAUGUUACUUGCCCGAGAUUCGAUCGUCAGUAUCCGCAUACCUAUUUCAAUAUCGUUUACCGGCAAGUCUCUUUACUCGUUCCGUAAUACAAGAUCCCGCAACUUACACUAAGUCACAUUGCUUGCAAGGCUUAUGUGUGAUGUUGUAUUACCGAGUGGGCCCCGAGAUACCUCUCCGUCACACGGAGUGACAAAUCCCAGUCUUGAUCCGUACUAACUCAACGAACACCUUCGGAGAUACCUGUAGAGCAUCUUUAUAGUCACCCAGUUACGUUGCGACGUUUGAUACACACAAAGUAUUUCUCCGGUGUUAGUGAGUUAUAUGAUCUCAUGGUCAUAGGAACAAAUACUUGACACGCAGAAAACAGUAGCAACAAAAUGACACGAUCAACAUGCUACGUCUAUUAGUUUGGGUCUAGUCCAUCACGUGAUUCUCCUAAUGACGUGAUCCAGUUAUCAAGCAACAACACCUUGUUCAUAAUCAGAAGACACUGACUAUCUUUGAUCAACUCGCUAGCCAACUAGAGGCUUGCUAGGGACAGUGUUUUUAUGUAUCCACACUUGUAAAUGAGUCUUCAUUCAAUACAAUUAUAGCAUGGAUAAUAAACGAUUAUCUUGAUACAGGAAUUAUAAUAAUAACUAUAUUUAUUAUUGCCUCCAGGGCAUAAUUCCAACAGUUUAAGCAUAUUCAUCGGCAAGUUAAUGUAGCUAUUCAUUUGUUAACUAAGCAUUGUAAGAAUUUAUCUAGCCUUAUUGUUUCUCAUUGUGCUCCCGCUUGUAUCCGGAACACUCUUUGUAACUUUGUUAAGUGAUCGAUAAAGUUGAUGUUUAAAAAAAAAGAACUAUGGCUUCGUACAUACAACCUCUUGUGCAUUGUACAUUUCCCCUUUAAUUUAAUUUUUUGUUUGAAGAACACGGUACAGACACAGACGGACAUAUAUAGGCGCAUAUACUCAUCCCUAUAAAUACACGUGCGCAUUGUUACCCCUAUGAACAUUUUCAAAAGAUUAGGCCAGUGCAUUAUUUUAAGAUUGACAAAUUCAUCACAAAGGCCUUCCUAGUUGAAGGGGGCAUCUCUUUUCAUUGAGCGCACGUCAUUAAACAAAAAUGCGAACAACAAUAUUAUGGCUUGGGACGUAACCUGUGGUGGAGAGGGGAUGAUUCGAUCGAUCCCAUGUUCGUUGCCGCCCCCCGCAAAAGAAAAUAUCGGUGCCGAGUCGUUGGCGUAAGUACCACGAGGGGGAAACACCACCGCCUCGGAGUCCCUACCACUUUUCUACUCCUCCAACACGCCAAUCGACGGACCGACCACGACCAGUCUCUCUCUCUCUCCCCCGUCCGAACUCGGUCUAGCCAGGACCCCACGUCCACCGCUUACCCGUGCGCCCCGCUCACGAAACUCCCGGACGAUGCCUACAUAUACGGAAGAAAAAAAAGAAGAGGACCCGAUUUCGCCCCGCACUUCCUCCUCUCCAAAUCCCUCUCCGCCUCCGUCCGAUCCUGCUCACCCCCGCCCGCGGCAGACUCCCGGCGGCACCCCUCCUAUACAUAGGCGGCGCCCUCCUCUCCCCGGAGCCGCUAUAUUUUCCGCGAGCCCAUUCUGCCCCGUGCGCCCGCCCGCGCCACCCCCACCACCAUCCGUUAUCGGUUGUUGCGCCGCGCCUUCGGUGCCGAGGAGAGAGAGAGGGGUGGCCAGGAGGAGGAGGAGCAGCGGCCUCCGCGCGCCACCGGCGAGGGAUAGGGAGGGAGGUUGGUUGAUAGGGAGGGAGGGAGGGAGGAGAUGAUGGCGUUCAGGGGGCAGAGGCCGGCGCAGUCGGAGCAGAUGUGCGACGCGGCGGCGGCCGUGGUGGCGGCGCGGCAGGGCAUGGAGCAGCCGCUCACGGCCGUGGCCGAGGCGUUCGAGGAGCUGGCGCGCGGGAUGGAGGCCGACGGCGGGGAGCUCCGCCUCGCCCCCUUCGGCGACACCUGCGCCCUCGUCUCCGUCCUCUUCAACUCCCUCGGCAUCGCCUUCAAGUUCGCCGAGAGCGAGUACGUCACCAAGGUACACACCCCAAUCCCAAUCCCAAUCCCAUCUCGCCAUUCCUCCAUCCCUUUCAUUCUUCUUGCAGACCAAGCCUCGCCCAUCUCGCCAUGGCGUCUUUUAUUUAGAAACAAUCGACGAUCGUAACCACAGAAUCGGGAAGCUUUUAGGAUUCCCAAACAAGAUUGUGUGCAAGAAAGAAAUGGAACCGGCGAUCGUUUCUAUUCUAGUUUCGUUUUUGUUUGGUCACGACCGCGACCUGUGGUGGAAGGAAAGAAAGAAAUGUAAGCCAACUUUGCCCAGGUGAACGACCUCAUCGGGGCAUCGAGGGAGUACGCGACGCUCAACGACAUCCUGGACAAGGACGUGGAGAACGACUCGGUCAAGAAGCAGGGCAGCCAUUCCCGGAACCUGCGCAGGGUCCGGCUCGGCCUCGGCCUCAUCAAGGCCCUCUUCGAGCAGUUCCUCGCAACCGAGUACGUUUCCCCACUCAUUCACCCACUCACUCACUCACUCAUUCGUUCGUUCCAGCAUAGCGCAAAUUUGUCUCUUGCUCUCCCCCGCUGGCACCACCAGCAGCGGCGGCAAAUGCUUUGUGCAGCAAUCAAUGGCGGUUUGGUUCAUCAUCAUCAGUUUUGUGCUAAUAAAAUCAUCCUUGAUUCCGCAAACGGACGGACGACAGCUUACACUCUCUCUGGCGUCUGGUUUUUCAGGGGCGGCUCGUUGUAUGAUGCCGCGACGACGGCCUACGGCCAGGUCUGCGCCCCGUUCCAUAGCUGGGCAAUCCGGAAGGCGGUUGGUGCCGGGAUGUACACUCUCCCCAGCAGAGAACAGUUGAUAAUGAGGCUCAACGAAACUGGUAAGCCAACGAUUUGACACCCAUCGCCGUCAGGAUAUACCUACCUUAAAAACUUAUUCAGUGAUACUCAAUGCUUCCAUCAAGAUGAUCUCCACAUUGACAGACCAAUAACAAAAUCAUGUCGCGUGCCUUAACUUAUUUAUCAAUAAUGAUGAAAUGAUGUGUGCUUGCAGAUUGCUCUGUGCAGAAGGAGAUGAGGAGAUACAUCGACGCUUCUAGUCCGAUUAUAGUGUACAUCGAUAACCUGUUCCUGUCUAGGAACAUUGUCCUAGAUUGGUGAACUGAAUCGGGGAUCAUGCUUGCGGCUCUCCUCACGAGCUGUUAUUGAUGUCAUUGUUUUAUUUUUAUUUUCUCAUAGCUUUCUAGCCUUGGUGGGGCGGUGGAUGCUCUCCCUUCGCACUGUCUCUUGUACUGUACGAUUAUAUGAAAAAUCUAAUUCUAAACCAAGAGGCGGUUCUAGUAUGAUCAUGCUAUUCUUAUGCUACCAAUUGCACACCGGGCCAACUUGUUGAUCAUCAGAAAAGAAAUGGGACAGACGGACAGUGGAGUCAUCAAAGAAGAGUAUGUUUUAGUAACAAAUAGUAUAGCCAUGUUAUUGUUGCCUUGGUACUUGGUACAAUAGCUAAUAAGGGCCCGAGACCAUCCCGGACUGGGCAAAUUCGGCUCCGGACUGUUCGUCUGCGGACGUGCCCGGGCACGCUGACGGACCCACAUAUCUCAAAUCCAUGAAAAAUCAUGCACAUCGGUCACAUAAGCCAUUAUCGCACGUAAAUAAUAAAUGUUGAUACUAGACAUGAACAGUGUUUAUAUAAAAUUUAUUACACAAUCAAACAUCAGCUCUUUGUUUUUUAUUAUGGAUCCACAUAUGCUCCACAAGAUAAUUGAGUAGUUGGGCGUGCAUCUUCUAAUACAUCUACAGAAAGUUCAUAAGCUGAGCUGCAUCAUGAUCUUCUGUAAUUUCAGCUUGUUCUUGAGGUGCUUCAAAAUCAUUGGUUUUGGCUACAUCAUCACCCUCAUUCUCACAAUCAUAUUGUGUAAAAUAACACAAUAUGUCAUGAACUGUCACGAAGUUUCUGAUUUCCACAUCAUUAUAGCCCCACGAACAAUUCCCCAAUGAGCUUGAAGCACACCAAAUGCUCUCUCUACAAUAGUUUCCUCCAUUGUUGCAAAGUGGCUCCGGUUUUUUGCCAUGCAGUUCGGAUAUGGUUAUGUGAUGCCAUUGACUCUAUUAUGAUGGUGGCUUCUUUGACGUGAUCUUGAUACAUUCCCCACAAAACUUUAGGACAGUUCUUCCGUUGUCAAUGCAUGCAAUCAAUUGAUCCGACCAUUCCUGGAAACCCUUUGGUCUCUCCAAGCCAACAACUUCUUCAUGUCAUGCGCAUUUGGUUCUCUCAGAUGCUCUACUUCAAACACCUGCACCACAACGCAUGCAAACUUGACAGUAGUCUUCAGGCAUAUGCUCUCCCCCAUCCUAAACCAUCUCAUCAACGACAUCUGCAGCAGUACCAAGUGCAAGCAUUCAUAGAGUAGUCGUGCACUUCUGCUUGGUAGAGAAAGAAAGUUGACCACUGCAAUCCCUGGUGGGCUUGAAGUACUCGAUGUGUGCCUCCACUCCCUCCACAAUAUGCUAAAACAAUGGUUUUCACAUGCGAAAGCGCCGACAAAACCAUGGAUCAUCCGGGGAAGUUGGGUUCAGAGCAAAGUAGUCCUUCCGUAGUAGCUUUGCUCCGCAAACCCUAUCCUGAUUGAUCACUCUUGUCCCUUUGAUUGAGCCCUUGAAAUUGAGAAUAUACUCCACUUGUCGGUCCAUUUCCUCUUGCAUUCUCAUGACCACGAUCAUGUCCACUUCUUCAUCCGAAUCUGAGUAAUCGAAGAACUCAUGUUGAAUCAUUUGAUCAAGCUCCGUCGGUCCAUGCUCCUCGUCAGACGAAGUAUCAUAAUCCAUCAUUUUCCAUAAUAAAAUCACAAAAAAUCCGGUCAAAUAAUGUGUCGAACACAUCAAGCGCAAGCUGGAGCCAGAUAGUUGUUGGACCUACCAUGGUGGCAUUCGGGCCGGCGACGACGUCCCCCGCGGCGAGGACGAGAGAGAGGACUGCUCUGCCGGAGCUGACGACAUAUAGGCUAGGAAUGGCUACGGAGCCCGUGCGGCGGCGGAGCUGUGAGAUGGACGAUCCGGAGGAGGAAGACAGGAGAGAGCAAAUGGAUCUAACAAUUCUAGGGGUGGAUUUGGUGCAAUUUGCGAUAGGGUCAGGUUGUCGGAUCCGACAAGGUGGGCGUGCUCGGGUGCCCCCAUAUCCGCUCCAUAUUUGGAUUGGAUAUGAGGGGUGUCGGUCAGCCCAUACGUUGGAGGUCCGUUUAAGGCGCCCGCCCGGGUCAGAUUUCCAUGACCGGUGAGUGAUCGGGUGGCCCGCCCGGACAUUUGAGGAGGUUUAGGAUGCCUCGCUAUAGAUGCUCUAAUUGUAUAGCAAAGUUCUCAAAAUGCAAGAACAAAAAAUAUAUUGGAGUGAAAACCAAAAUAUGAAUUUGAAUUACAAGGCUUUUGAUGCCAUGGUCCAUAACAAAAAUAACGAAUCAUAGUAGGAGAUGGGGUGUAAAUUUUCUUCGAAAUAUUCUGAUAGGUAGAAAAUCUAUAAAGAAGAAUCCUCAUACUAGAUGAAUGAUUUUCGAAAUAGUACUCUCCAAGGCGGUUAGGUCAAAGCAAAAAAGUCAACUUAUGAAUGAUUCAUUAGUAUUAUUUUGCGAAAAUGAAUGAAUCAUUAAAGGAGACCAAAGUUGGAUACCAAUUUAAUCAAUAAUUAUAUUUAUAUAGGAGGUGAAUAGACUAGUAAGCCAAAAAUGGACUCUUUCCUCUUUUUUCUGGUCAACUUAGAUUUUUUUUAACAAUAUAUCAACCAUCCCACACUUGCAAUUCCGCUAGAGUAUAGUCAAUACAUGCAAAUGAAACUCUGCUAGAGUAUUGUCACGCCUAAGAUGCGACCAUAUCCUCAAUUUGGCACGAAGACCUCGUCAGGGAUAGAAGCGCAUCUCGUCGUGUCGCCAGAAUGGAUAUCGUUACAAGUACAUGUACUGAAAAGAUGAGAUAUAUAAAGAGUUGGCUUACACUCGGCACAAGCUACAUCAGAGUCACAUCAAUACAUUACAUAAUCAUCAAGAGUAAGAGCAGGGUCCAACUACAGACGAAAACAAAUGACAAAAGAAGAACGACGUCCAUCCUUGUUAUCCCAGGCUGCCGGCCUGGAACCCAUCCUGGAUCGAUGAUGAAGAAGAAGAAGAAGCAACUCCAAAUGAACAAUCAACGCGCUCGCGUCAAGUACCCUUUACCUGUACCUGCAACUGGUGUUGUAGUAAUCUGUGAGCCACAGGGGACUCAGCAAUCUCAUUUCCAAAGGUAUCAUGACUAGCAAAGCUUAAUGGGUGAGGCAUGGUAAAGUGGUGAGGUUGCAGCAGCGACUAAGCAUAUAUUUGGUGGCUAACUUACGAUUACCAGAAAUAAGAGGGGGAAGAUCUACGCAUAACGGACGUGAACUACUCGUGAUCAGAAGAAUGAUCCUGAACACCUACCUACGUCAGACAUAACCCCACCGUGUCCUCGAUCGGAGAAGGAACUCACGAAAGGGACAGUCACGGUUACGCACACAGUUGGCAUGUUUUAAUUAAUUAACUUUGAGUUAUCUAGAACCAGUGUUAAACAAAGUUUCCACGUUGCCACAUAACCGCGGGCAUGGCUUUCCGAAAGAUUUAACCCUGCAGGGGGUGCUCCAACUAGUCCAUCACAAAUUACCACAAGCCGCAUAGAAAUCCUCAAUCACGAAGCUCGCGAUCUCGUCGGAUUUCCUAGUGGAAAACCUCCACUCUGAGAUUACCCAAAGCAUCACCGGAAUCCCGAUGCACAAGAUAUCUCGUCAAAGGUAAAACUAAUCCAGCAAGGCCGCCCCGCGUGUCGACGAUCCCGAUAGGAGCCGCGUAUCUCGUUCUCAGGACACGACGGAUGGAACUAGCUACGGGUGCCAAACCUCGAGUUUCCUCGCGGUGGCCCCGCAGGCAGACCGUUUGGGACCAACACCAUCAGCACUGGCCCCCCCUGUUUAUGUAAAAUUACUCCUCUGGUUCAUGACGCCCUAUGCAUUUCAGUGUUAACAAAAUUAUUAUGUUGGGCAAAUGUAGAACCAAUGUUGGGCCUUGCCGGACCAGCUUUAAUCUAAAACGAAUUAUCAAGGGGGUCCCCAUAACAACCCCGAUCGUGUUAGGAGCGCUCAUUUAUGGAACAUAACACCGGUAGCCGAAACUAAGGGGGCAAAGGUGGAACAAAACACCAGGCUAGAAAGGCCGAGCCUUCCACCUUUUACCAAGUAUAUAGGUGCAUUAAAUUAAAUAGCAUUAAUAUGGUGAUAUGACAAGGAACCCAUGUUAUCCAUGGAAGCAUCUGCACCUACAACUAGCAACGCUAACAACAGGGUUAAGCAAGCAGUAACAUAGCCAAACAGUGGUUUGCUAGGUCGAACAGGUUGAGGGUUAUCAUGGCAUUGUUGAGAGGCUAAUAUGGAAACAUGUGGUAGGCAACGAGACAUAAAACGAUAGAAGCAAUAACUAGCAUGGCAAUGAUAGUAAUGGUAUAUGGGGAAAUGAUCAUCUUGCCUGAGAUCCCGUUUGAAAGAAGAACAACUCGGAGAAGUCGACAAACCAACGUAGUCGAACGGGUCCUCACAUUCCAACACGCUUGCGGAACUCUAUCGAGACGGAGGAAACCGGAAACAAACAUCAACACAGAUAUUCACCACGGCAAAUGCAAGACAUGAUGCACACUCUAAUAUGAUGCAUGAUCCGUUCAAAGAUGCAAGGGAUGGCAUGGCAAUUCAUCUCACGCAAACUCUACACAUUAAGUGAAGCUCGAUAUGCAACGGGUUGCAUAUCAACGAAACUCCACGUUUAAUUAUUUAAUUCACUCCUUUAAUUAUCACGGCAAUAUUACAUUGUGGUUAUCAUGGCAAGGGUGAAGCGAUGAUCCUACAAGUCAUCCUAGUCGGUUACCACACGAAACAUAGAUCGGAUCUACGGCACAAAAGACAUGCAACACAAUAUGUUAUGCCAUGAAUGCAUUAUGCAUGCUAGUUCAAACAUCACGGGCAAGAAGAGAAAUAAGCAUGGUGUCGCCAUGGCGAGCGAGAGGAAACCAUGGCGGCAAAUCGGAAACGAUGCCACGGCAAUGUUCCGGUCCCGAUAACUCGAGGAGAAACCGGUGCCAACGUAUACGAACGCGUGCGGGAACGGUAAAUAAUAAUGGGGUGACCCCGUAUCUCGGGUUCCCAUGUGUCGAGGGCUCGACGAAAAGGAAGACGACGUGCACGGGCAAACAACGGUGCAUACAUAUGGUGCAUACAUGCAUUCAACUUGUACAACACAUACAUGCGUACAACACUAGUACACGGUUCACGACAUGUCCCAUCGGUAUACCUUCGACGCGUGCAUAACGGAGGGGUUCGGUCGAAGCGGACGUCGUGGAAGUAGUCGUACACGCGCCGGUAGUUGAAGUAGUGGUACCGGUCUCGUCGACGGUAGUCGUACUCUCGGCGUCGGCAGACGGUCUUCGGCGUCGGUAGUCGUUCACGAAUCCGUAGAUGUCCGGGGUCAUCGGGGCGUCGUGGUACUCGCGGCGAACUUGUCGACGGGCCACAGUGGCGGGGAUGGUGCACGCGGCGACGCAGGCGGCAGCACAAGCAAACAACACGGCAAGCUGGGCAAGCAAGCAACUAAACCUAUCUGGCAGCCACAGCAAUAAGCAGCGGCAGCUAGCGUCAGCCAGGCAAGGCAUCGGGCAACAGCACUACAACUACCUAGCGGCGGCAGGCAAACUUAGCAGCAGCUAAGCUAGCUAGCAAAGCAAGCUAGCAGCCGACUACAACAAGAGCAACAGCUAUACGCAGCACAAGCUACAUCUAGCCUCGGCUAGCAGCAAGCAGGGCAGGCAGCGAUCAAGCAUCAGCUAGCUCGGCCAGCAUCUACAGCAAGGAGCUAGCAAGCAAAGCACACCAAUAGCAACAUCUCGGCAACAGCACAGCAGCAGCAAGACGCUUAGCAACAGCAGGCAGGAGCAGCCCCUGGAGGCGGCGGCCAUGGGGAAGCGAGCCAGCGGCGAGCAACAGCAGCUCGGGAUGAGCAGCGCGACGGCGGGGCACCGGCGCAGGCGCAUGGUGACGGGGCGGCGAGCUCGCGAGGGAGAGGGGCGAGGCGGCGCGGGUUCGGCAGGGCUCGCGGGCAGGCGUAGGGAGGCGAGCACGGGGCUGGACGCAGGGAGCGAGGGCGGCCACGGCGGGGGAACUGCUGCGGGGCGGCGCCGGCGAGGCCUCGGGCCGGCCGGGAGCUGGAGGCGGCGAGCUCGACGGCGUUGCAAGGCAGGAGGCGGCCAGGGACGACAUAGGCCGCCGGGGAGGCGCGGGGCCCCGGGCAGGCGCGACCAUGGCGGCACGCGGAGAAGCGGCCCGGCGACGCGGAGGCGCGGCAGGAGGGGCGCUGGAGGCGAGGGCGCGCGUGAGGUGGAGGACGGCGGCUCGGUCCGACGCGGAGCAGAGAGGAGGCCAGCGCUGGGGCUGCUCGCGGCCAUGACGGCGCUGGGUGAGGAGAGGAUCGGGAGGAGAGUGGGGAGGAGAACGGGAUGAGAGGGAGGCGGGCUGGGCUAGGUCAGCACAGGAGUUGGGCUGCGUCUGGCCGGCUCGGCUGGGCUCCCUCCCCCUGCUAGAUCCCUUUUUUUUAAAACAGAAACUCAACAAACAAAAGAAAAAAAAAACGUUUAAAGCAAAUAGAAAAAAAUAAAGGCCUUUGACUUCUUAAAACCAAAAAUUAUGCCCCAACUAUAAAAUAGAUUGGGCCCCUUUUAACAAAUAAAACUAAAAUCUUUUAAGAAUAAAAUUAAACCCUUUUUUUAUAAAAGAAUAAAAUUAAACCUUUUAACAAAAGAUUAAAAUCAAACCCCUUUUGAAGAAUAAAAUAAAACCUCUUUUUAUUUAGAGAAUAAAAUAAAAGCUUUUAAAAGAGAGAAGAAAAAGAGACGGUUUAACAAUAAAACAAAAGGAAAAAUAAGAUUAAAACCCAAGGGUUACCCCCACAUUUAAUAAAGUGGUUUUACAAGAAGACGCCUUUUUUAGAAGGGUUAAACGGAAGCUUUAGCAAACCGCAAAAACGAAAUAAGAAGGGAGAGAAGGGGAGAAGGUUCACGUCCUCGGGGAGCAGGGGUUUAGCGGUGGCUCUCACGCACGCAUUCUCAUCGCGCCAAUAAACGACGUCACACUCACAAAGCACUCACAAGCAACACCGACAAAUAACACAAUUAACAUGAUGCCAUGCAUGAUGCGAUGAUGCAACUACAUGACGAUGCAACAAACGAAAAAAAUAACCCCACGACGGAAACGGAAAGAAAGGGGGAUCUUCUGGGGCGUCGGCAUCGGGCUGUCACAACUCUCCUACACUACAAGAAGAUCUCGCCCCGAGAUCCAAGAAUGAAAGGGGGGAGAGGAUGAGAAAGAACAAGAGGUAAAAAUUUAGUCGCUUCUUUGACAAACGAGUGAAACCAAUGAUCCUUGAAGGUUGCAAAGAGAUGAGGAAUGAUAUGAGAAAGAAGCAAGAAUUCACGGAAAAUUUCGGCAGCACUUCGGUAGGAAAAUGGGACAAAAAAAUCGAUAAGAAGAGAGAAUUGCACAAUAUUCAUAACAAACAACUAAAUAGAGCAAGGGAACACCAUGAUCUUGGUAGAACAACAAGAUUGACCCAAAAGAGCAACAUCACAAAGCCUCCGGAACAAUAGAAUAGGAACUAGCUCAUACGGAAGAAGAGAAUGAAGAAAAGAAUGACAAAUACUAACUCCAAUGAACUUGACAAGCAUCCUUGCGAGAAGGAUUGGACGGAGUUGUUGGAAAACAACAACGAAAGAACAAGAUAGUAGUGGGCUUAUGAAAGCUUUUCAAACCAAUGAAGUAACAACCAGCCACUAACAGAAACAAGGAUUGAUUGGGAGAAACAAGAUAUGAACAAUUUCUUACACCAAGAGGAUACAUUGAGAACUUGGAUUAAUGACAAGCACCAUGAUAGCAACAAUCCAUAGGAAAAACUUUAGGUGAAUCCAAACCAAGAUAGCUCAAUGAAAAAUCAUGGGUUGGAAAAUGUCUCAUGAUCAUAGAAUUGGUGGGUUUAAUUAUCUCAUUCUUGAAAGGAAAUCUCUUCGAGGCUCCUACACUAACAAGAAGGAUAUAAAACCACCUCAAAGGAUAAAGGAAGAACAAAUGCACUUGGGAAUGCAAGAGAACGGAUACUUGAGAAAAGAAUUGAUAUCAUGAUUCCUUCGGAAGAAGAAUUGAAACCAUUACGAACAAGAAUAAGAACUAUGUUAAGUUUAUCCUUCAUCAAGUUUAAUUGAUGACAAGCAACGGAUUUAGCAUACAACUUAUUCUUCUUGACGGAAUCUUGAAGAGAUAGAGAGAUAAGCACCACUUGAAGCAUAAUUGAAGGAAGCACCGGUAAGAAAUCACAAUUGAAUGGGAACACCACGAAUUAAUGGAGAUAUAUGAGAAUGAAGAGAUCAUGAUCCACCUGAGAGAAAAACUUGAACAAGGCACCUGAGAGACUUUUUAGUUGGGACUAAAAAAAGUCUUAGGACUUUUUAAAGAAACAGGGCCAUAAUAACCAACCCUUAUACGAUGAUCUACACUGAACUAUUGAUAUGAGCUUUUAUGUAAAAUGGUGUCUUAACGUUGGUUUUCAUGUUAUUCGAAAUUGUGCCCAUAAAGAUUUCUUAAAGAGCAUCGACGUUGAUAUGCCAUCUUGAACAUUUGUCAUGCAUGUCCUUAUGUAUUAAUUGUUUCGAUGGAGCUGUCUAAUAUGUUUGCAACCAAAUUAAAUCUUGUCAUGGUUUACAGUUGUAAAAGCAUACAUCGGCAAAAAAAAAAGCUCUAAUGCACCUUCUAUCAUUGAGUACUAAAAUAUACUUUGCUAUUUUCAUCAUAAUAAAAUAUUUUAUUGGGUAUCAUUGAGCGGGAACGACGAAAAGGACGUAAAGAGAUAGCGACAACUAGGUAGAUAUUUGUGUUGCCUAAUAAUUUAGAAAUACCUUGAGCACACUUAAAAAUCAUCCAACCUUAUGUUUUUUGCGCAACACUACUUAUCAUUUUGUUUUUCAUGUGGCAUAGUGAAAGAUUUCAAGAUAUAUGCUGAUGUUGUUGGUGUGUGUACUAGGGAUGAUUUUUUUUCAGAGAUUUGUUGAUGUUGUCAGGUGUGUGUACGAGGGGUGAUUUUUUUUUUUGUUACAACGCAUGGUACAUGUCUUGCUAGUAAUCUGAACAAUGUUACUGUCAGACCACAGUGAGGGUCUGUUUGAGACUGCUCUGCUUCAUUAAAAUCAGUUCUAUUUCACCAAAUCCACUUUAGAGAAGUUUCAUAUAGGAGUUGCAACUAUUUGGAGAAUGUUUGGGACUGCUCUACUUCAGAAAAUUCAGGUCCGCUCUAGAAAACGUAAGCCAAACGGGAUAGCUUCAUGAUAUACCGCUCCGCAGAAAAACUAGAAUCUGGGGUCCAACUUCUUGUUUUUUGUGAAGCUCUCUAGAAGGUGCUUCAUAAAAUUAUAGAAGCUGGAGUUGGAAGAAAAUUACUCACCACUGCCACCAGUAAGUGGAUACCCCUUUAUUUCUUACCUCUCAUCCAAUCAAAUAGAUCAUUUCCAUCAAAUUUUUCGUUCGUGAAGCUGGAGCUAAAUGAGAACGAAACAUUCUCUUGAAAUGAUUGCAACUCCUAUAUGAAACUGUUCUAAAAUGGAUUUGGUGAAGCAAAACUAAUUUUAAUGAAACAGAACGGUCCGAAACAGGCCCUAUGUUUUUUAAAGCGGAGCUGAAUUUUCUGAAAUAAAACAGUCCCAAACAGGCUCUAAGUCAUGACCGGGAAGUUUUUAUUUUUACUUUUAUCGGCGACGGCGCUCUUUCCAUUUCAUAACUUGUGGUGAGUUGGCGAUGCUCCCUUCCCUCAUCAGAGAAGCAGGUAGCAGUGUGCAGUAAGCGACGAUCGAGCUCCUGCUGUGUGCCUCGUUGUGAGGCACCACCGAACGAACAGUCUGGACUGCAAGACCCAACCCGAAUAUGCAGGCGAAGGAUUCCCGUACCCAUUUCCUAUUUCGGCGCCCGGUUGGCGGCAUUUGGCAACUCGCACGUAGGGCCGCGGGCGUAGCAGGCCCAGUGACAACGCUAAAGCCCAACCAACUGGACUACGCUGCCGAUGAGCUGGUGGUAGAAUUCUUCUGCACUGCACAUGAUGUGUAUUAUUGCGUUACAGUACUACUCUUCUUGGGCCUACCUUGGAAUGUAAGCAAAAUGCCAACUCAAACCAGCCAUGAAAAGAAGAAAACAAACGUUGUGAGACGAUGUGUAUGUACUCAGCAUAUCACUUGUGAUCCUCUCUUGUGCCAGGUAAGCUAUUUUUCUCUUCGUUUUUUUAAGUGGAAGGCACCCAAUAAGUUCUUAGUAUCACAAACUAUUGUACCGUACGUACUGUAGAGAUAUCUAAGCUACCCAUAUCAUCGGGCAAAUUGAUAUGUGAAUUCAUAUACGCUGUACGUAGUGUAAUCCCGAGGCAUGUUUUGUUACCUGCAUUGUUUUUAGACAAUUUGCAUUUGUGACUUUCUUGUGUCUGGCUGAAUGAAUACAUGCAAAAACAAAAAGAUCUGCACAUAGUUUGGUAGUAUACAUAUUGGCUCCGUGCAUUAGGGUAGCAACUGCACUCCCCUCAGCCGCAAAAUCUACAUCUCGCUACUAGCGAGUGAUCUUUCUGUCUCGCCUGAAUCUUUCUUCUUCCCUGUUGUAAUUAGGCUGGCCCGUUUGUUAGUUUUAUUUUUGAUCACUCUAUGUUCGACGGUCGCUGGCUAUGGCAAUCUCUAUUUAGCGUCAUAGGUGUUCGUUAACAUGCAUUUUCGCAAACGGGCGUCUGCAGCCCUGCUAGCUGGGCUCGGUCCGUUUCGCUUGCUUCCCGUCCAUAGCUACUUCGCUAGUUUACAAAGCGCAAAAAAGUACGCAAGAGCAAGGGACCAAACCAAGGGUCUUCCGUUUCGUACCGUACUGUGGAAACCACCCCGCCACGGGAAUUUGAUGUGCUAAUGCAAGCAUGUUUUGUAUUAUCAUUUUCUCUUUCUUUUUACUAUUAUCUGUUUUUCUGUUUUCGUUUUUCAGGUUUCUUUCUUAUUUUUCCUUCUUACUCGUUCGAUGAUUUCUUUCAAAUCCAUCCACAUUUUUAUUAACUUAUGAAUAUUUUAUAAAUUUCAUGAUUUUUUCCGAAUUUUAUAAAGUCCUUUUAAAAUUAGAUGAACAUUUUUUUAAUGACGAACUGUUUUAGUUUUUUUUUAUUUUUUCUCAAAUCUUAUAAACUUUUUUCAAACUUGAUGAACUUUUUUCCAAAAUUGAUGAACUUUUUUUCAAAUUUCAUGAACUCUUUUCAAAUUCGAUGAUCUUUUUUCAAAAGUAAUUCAAAAUUCGAUCAAUCUACAAAUUUGUAGUUUUCUUUUUCUGUAAAGUCAUGAAAAAAUUAUAAAUUUUGAUGUAAUUUUUUAAAAAUUGAUAAGUUUUAAAAAUUUCUAGAUUUCUUUUUUUGUAAAGUCAUGAACAAUUUUUUAAAUUUCAAUGAACUUUUUAAAACUUGAUGAACUUUUUAAUUAUACAAUCUUCUUAAAAUUUCGAAGAACUUUUUCAAAAUUGAUGAACUUUUUUAAAUAUGCAAACUUUUUUAAUUCUAAUGUACUUCUUUCUAGUUUGUCACUUUUUUUAUCCAAAAAAAGUAUCAUGAUUUUUUUUCAAAAAAAAGAAGCGAUUCAGUACAUGGUUAUGUAUUAACAAAUAGCGUUGGACUUGUUAUUAGGUUUUCACGCAGUAACUGGAGACUUCGCAAUGGUAGCUCCAUCGGUUAGCGUGUUCAUAAGUGCAACGGACGUCUUGGUUCAAACCCGGUAGCCGCAAAAAAAAUUGUGACUAGGUGGUUGAGGGGGAGAGUAAAAGUGAGUAAAAGUGAGCAUAGUUUAUUGGCAUCGACAACACUGAGUAGAAAUUAAAAAAACAACUCUUUUUUAAAAAAUUUGAAGAUUUUCUUUCUAAUCCUCUUCCGUUAGAAAACGACCACAUGCUUUGUAGCACCGGCCAAGUCUAGUAGUAACGCUCGAGAAAAAUCUUCAAAGAAGGUUGCGCCUCCUGCGACUGUCCGAAGCUCACGGAAUUAAGUCAUGUCCCUCUAUCAACACUAGAAAGAGGAAGACGUGUGGUGUGAUUCAUUACGAGGAUCCCAUAUACCCUACCUCGCCACAACAAAGCCAAUCUACGGUGGCCGAGGAGGGUCGUGCGAGCCAAAGACCAGAUCUUUGUUGCAUUUGGACCUUAUGUUAUAUUUAAAUUUGUUUCUAAAAUUUGAAUUUAUGGAUCUAAAAUGUCUGAGUAGAGUUCAUAUGGAUAAAAAUUCUAACAACAUUUUUCUAGAAAAAUUGACUUGGCACAUAUGCUUUGUAGGAUCUAUUCACGUGGAAUGAUACCUUAAAACCACCUUUUUACCUUAAAACCAUUUCAAAGGCUUCUUCAUGUGGAAUAUGCUCGGAAUAAGAGCAUCUCCAGCCGCGCCCCCAACAGGCCCUCCCAAGGCCAUUUUUUUUUCCGUCGGCGAGCGAAAAACGGUCUAGUCGUGCCCCAAGGAGUCCGUUUUUCGCGGUUAGGACCGAAUUUGGUCCUGGUGGUACCAGCCCGAACCCAGCGCGCUCGGGGUCACCUGGACGCGCCGGCGGAAGGGAAAACGGCGCGUUAACCCCCCUGUUACGCGGAAAAAGAUUUUUUCUUCUCCGGAUCCACCCCUCGCGCACCACGCCUUUCCCCACCGUGUCGAUUCCGGUGCCGCCCACCUACCUACGUCCGUUGCAAAGGUCAUCUCCCCGCCGACUGACGUAGGGUUCAUCGCGGCUUCGCCCCCUCCCCGCCCCGCCGCUUCUUGGCGUGUUUUCCCGGCACUCCGAGCACGUACGCGGCGAUAAAGUAUUCUCGCACCGUUAUCAUAUGAGCCGGAUGUUCUUCCUCACGAUUGCGAAUUCCAUCAGGGAAUUCGACAACUAACUUCAAGUGCAAAAAGAUUGCAUUGGCACACUUGGAUUCACCUCGCUCGAGAAGUGCACGACAACUAUGAGGAUGCUUGCAUACGAAACUCCUGAUGAUAGUCUGAAAUACUAUGGACGCAUGGACGAGUCCACCACCAUAGAGCGUUUGUACAAGUUAUGCAUGACAUCGGUGGCAGUUUUCGGACCUUAGAUUUUGCGAUCACCAAAUGUUGAAGACACUACUCGGAUCCUAGCACAGAAUACAAAAAAAGAGGAUUUCCUGGGAUUCUUGGAAGUAUCAACCGCAUGCAUUGGAAAUGAAAAAAUUGUCCAUUUGUUUGUCAAGGGAUGUACAAAGGCUCUAAAGGAGCUUGCAGUGUGGUACUUGAGGCAGUAGUCACACAUGACCUCUGGUUUUGGCACCCCUUCUUCGGUAUGUCAGGAACUCACACUGACAUCAACGUACCGCAGUGCUCGAAUGUCUUUGGCAAGCUUGUUGAAGGUCAUGCUCCUCCGGUUAACUAUGAGGUCAAUGGUCACCAUUACAAUAAGGGAUACUACCUAGCAAAUGGCAUCUAUUCGAGAUGGUCCACAUUUGUGAAGACUAUCUCAAAUCCUGCAUGAGGAGGCAAGCACUCCUAUUUUGCCAAGCGUCAAGAAACUGGCAGGAAGGAUGUCGAACGGGCAUUUGGUGUGCUUCAAUCUUGUUUUACUAUUGUGUGGUACCCCGCUCAGACCUGGUCGAAAGAUCAAAUGUGGAAGUCAUGACUUUGUUGUGUUGUGUUGCACAACAUGAUCAUUGAAAGCGAGCGGGUUGAGCCAGUAUCUGACACUGAACCAUAUUACAUGAAAGGUCCUCUUGUCCAAGUUGAUCACCAGCUACCAGGAACCUUGACUGCCUUCCUCAACAUGAGCGUGGAGAUCCGAGACCCACACGUGCAUCAACAAUUAUAGCAUGAUUUGGUGGAGCACCUAUAGAGGCUUAAGGGCAACGAGUAGCUCGAUUUUUAAUUUGUAUUGACUUGUUAAAUUAUUUAUGUUAAUUUCUAUGAUGAACUCUGCGAUAAAAAAACUAUUGUUGUUCAAUUUACGUUGAACCAUGUCGAAUAUGAGCCAAAUGUGAGCCAAUACUGCGUCGAAACUAGGUCGAUUUGCGUCGAAAGUGGGCCGAAAGUGGCGGCUCGGGGUUCCAUUGGGUGGGCGACUGGGAACACGAUCCCCCACGCCGUUUUUUGCGCCGGCACACCCCAAGGCGGCGCUAUUUCAGGCCCGUGGGGCCUAACGGCUGGAGAUGCUCCAACAAGGCACACGAGAUGUAGGGAAGUACCACGCAUCAGACUACUGAUGUUUUCCUUCCUAUCAGACUAGUUGGAUACCGUUGGAUGCAACAUGGAUGAGAGGUGGAUGAGGCAUGGUUGCAUCUUGCAUGCAGCCCAUCUCACGUGAAGAUUCCCAAUUCUGUAAUCAAUCACCAUAAUUACCGUACGUGGUGUUUGCCUGUGCUGUCCUUUCGUUAAUGGCUGUGAAUUGCUCGUUUUCUGGAAACUAACUAUUACAUAUUUUAGGCAAAUAAAUUUGUUUGUUACCUUAGAACAAUGAUUUUCGAACGUCACGAAGCAUGUUUCUAUUAUUUAUUGACAUUGCUUCCAACACACCCGAAGUUUGCUUCAAUCUAAAGCGCGGUGAAUGAAAUUUGCUUCCAAGUAUAUUUGAAAACUUUCUUUAAUUAUGUUGCUUUCAUAUAUGAUCUUCGCUCGAGCUCCCUCUAAUCACGUGCUUCCUUUUCUUCCAUACUUGUUUCCAUAAUAGCAUAAAUAUGCUUGCAAUACUACAACCUACGCUUUAUAAUUUUUGCUACGAGGCAUGUGUAGUUGUAUUUUGAAGCACAAUUUUUCGACAGGUUGAAAUCUGUCACAUGUAAUAUUGAUGCAUUUCAUGUGUUGGUGAGUCGUUGUUGAAGCAUGAAAAAAUUAGUAUACAUUGUAGUGUUUGUGGAAAAGAAAGAAGCAAAAUUAUAGAUACUUGGAAGCUUAUUAUUUAUAAGUUGGAAGCAUGCCAGAUAUGAUGUUGAAGCACUGCCUUACUAAAACUAAAGGGAAUACAUACAUAUGCACCAUGAAACUUAGUACAUAGAACCCGUCGAAGAACCAAUGGUGUCAAUGACAGGAAGUAUCAGAGACGACAUCGACUCGUACAAUGGCACCAUGCAAAGCGAGGUCGGUAUUGUAGCCAUAGUCUGCAGGUGUCGAUCUUGUCGUGACCAACUCGCCGGCGGCAUGAAUUUGGAAGUGCCUGCUCCAUGGAUAGAGCGGAUGUUGAAAUUAGUAGUGGGCUUUAGGCCCAUAAGAGAAUUUCAGAAAUCUCCAAAGACCCGUGUAGGUGGUGGCAUGACAAGGUGGUGGUGGGAAGUUUAGUCCCACUCUGGAGAAGAAACUGGACCCUCAUACAUCUCAAACGUAUCUAUAAUUUUUUAUGUUUUCACGUUGUUAUCUUGUCAACUUUCGAUGUUUUGUUUACCUUUUAUAUCUUUUUUGGGACUAACUUAUUAACUCAAUGCCAAGUGCCAGUUCCUGUUUUUUCUGUGUUUUUUACUCUUUUCACAUCUGAUUUUGGAACGGAGUCCAAACGGAAUAAAAUCCACAAAAUGAUUUUUUCCAGAACAGAAGAAGAUCGUGAGGCUUGAGGGCCAAGCAAGUGGGCCCACACGGGGGCCACAAGCCCUGUUGCCGCGGCCAGGGGGAGGCCGCGACAACCAGGUUUUUGCCCCCCUGGCGCUCCCCUGCCCUAGGUCUUUGGCCUAUAAAUUCCCUAAAAAUCCAGAAAAAAUCAGGGCAUCCACGAAAACACUUUUCCGUCGCCGCAAGCUUCCAUUUCCGCGAGAUCUCAUCUGGAGACCCUUCCCGGUGCCCUGCCGGAGGGGACUUUGGAGUUAGAGGGCUUCUUCAUCAACAUCAUCGCCCCUCCAAUGACUCGUGAGUAGUUCACUUCAGACCUACGGGUUCGUAGUUAGUAGCUAGAUGGCUUCUUCUCUCUCUUGGAUCUUCAAUACAAAGUUCUCCAUGAUCUUCAUGGAGAUCUAUCCGAUGUAAUCCUCUUUGGCAGUGUGUUUGUCGAGAUCCGAUGAAUUAUGGAUUUGUGAUCAGAUUAUCUAUGAUAUAUAUUUGAGUCUUUGCUGAUUUCUUAUAUGCAUGAUUUGAUAUCCUUGUAAGUCUCUUCGAGUCUUGGGUUUUGUUUGGCCAACUAGAUCUAUGAUUCUUGCAAUGGGAUAAGUGCUUGGUUUUGGGUUCAUACCGUGUGGUGACCUUUCCCAGUGACAGAAGGGGCAGCAAGGCACACAUCGUGUUGUUGCCAUCAAGGGUAACAAGAUGGGCUUUUAUCGUAGAUAUGAGAUUGUCCAUCUACAUCAUGUCAUCUUGCUUAAGGCGUUACUCUGUUCUUUGGACUUAAUACACUAGAUGCAUGCUGGAUAACGGUUGACGUGUGGAGUAAUAGUAGUAGAUGCAGAAAGUAUCGGUCUACUUGUUUUGAUGUGAUGCCUAUAGAUAUAAUCAUUGUCAUAGAUAACGUCACGACUUUGCGCGGUUCUAUCAAUUGCUCGACAGUAAUUCGUUCACCCACCGUCUACUUGCUUUCAUGAGAGAAGCCACUAGUAAACACUACGGCCCCCGUGUGAUAGCCCGAGACCGACGUUCCAGAAGAUCCCCCUUUAUUUCCGUUUCCGUCGUGUGGUUAUUUUUCGGUUGUUGCAUCGUCAUGUAGUUUGCAUCAUGGCAUCUUGCAUCAUAUGUUGCGUGUUGUGAUCUGGGUUGUGAGUGCUCUCGGUGUCUUUGGUGCAAUAGGUCGCCGCCCUCCCUCCUCUUUUAGUUGUUUUGUGGCGGCGUUCAAGUUUUCGUUUUAUCUCCUUUAAAAAAAAAUAGGUUUGUUCUUCUUUUAAAAAAACCNNNNNNNNNNNNNNNNNNNNNNNNNNNNNNNNNNNNNNNNNNNNNNNNNNNNNNNNNNNNNNNNNNNNNNNNNNNNNNNNNNNNNNNNNNNNNNNNNNNNNNNNNNNNNNNNNNNNNNNNNNNNNNNNNNNNNNNNNNNNNNNNNNNNNNNNNNNNNNNNNNNNNNNNNNNNNNNNNNNNNNNNNNNNNNNNNNNNNNNNNNNNNNNNNNNNNNNNNNNNNNNNNNNNNNNNNNNNNNNNNNNNNNNNNNNNNNNNNNNNNNNNNNNNNNNNNNNNNNNNNNNNNNNNNNNUGUUCGACCUAGCAAACCACUGAUUGGCUAUGUUACCGCUUGCUUAACCCUGUGUUAGCGUUGCUAGUUGCAGGUGCAGUUGCUGCCAUGUGAAAACAUGGGUUCUUUGUUAUAUCACCCUAUUAAAUGUUAUUUACUUUAGUGCACCUAUAUACUUGGUAAAAGGUGGAAGGCUCGGCCUUUCUAGCCUGGUGUUUUGUUCCACCUUUGCCCCCUUAGUUUCCGGCUACCGGUGUUAUGUUCCAUAAUCGAGCGCUCCUAACACGAUCGGGGUUGUUAUGGGACCCCCUUCAUAAUUUGUUUUAGAUUAAAGUUGGUCUGGCAAGGCCCAACAUUGGUUCUACAUUUGCCCAACAUAAUAAUUCUGUUAAACUGAAAUGCAUAGGGCGUCAUGAACCCGAGGAGUAAUUUUACAUAAAUAGGGGGGCCAGUGCUGAUGGUGUUGGUCCCAAAAGGACAGACUUUGGGGCCACCACGGGGCAACUAGAGGUUUGGUACCUGUAGGCUUUUCCAUCCAUCGUGUCCUGAGAACGAGAUACGCGGCUCCUAUCGGGAUCGUCGACAUGCCGGACGGCCUUGCUGGAUUAGUUUUACCUUUGACGAGAUAUCUUGUGCAUCGGGAUUCCGGUGAUGCUUUGGGUAAUCUCAGAGUUGAGGUUUCCAACUAGGGAAUCCGACGAGAUCGCGAGCUUCGUGAUUGAGGAUUUCUAUCCGGCUUGUGGUAAUUUGUGAUGGACUAGUUGGAGCACCCGUGCAGGGUUAAAUCUUUUCGAAAAGCCGUGACCGCGGUUAUGUGGCAACGUGGAAAUUUUGUUUAACACUGGUUCUAGAUAACUUGAAGUUAACUUAAUUAAAACAUGCCAAUUGUGUGCGGAACCGUGACUGUCUCUUUCGUGAGUUCCUUCUCCGAUCGAGGACACGGUGGGGUUAUGUCUGACGUAGGUAGGUGUUCAGGAUCAUUCAUUUGAUCAUCGGUAGUUCACGUCCGCUAUGCGUAGAUCUUCCCUCUCUUGUUUCUUGUACUCGUAAGUUAGUCACCAUAUACAUAUGCUUAGCCACUGCUGCAACCUCACCACUUAACCAUGCCUCACCUAAUAAGCUUUGCUAGUCUUGAUACCUUUGGAAAUGAGAUUGCUGAGUCUCUUGUGGCUCACAGAUUACUACAACACCAGUUGCAGGUACAGGUAAAAGUUACUUGACGCGAGCGCGUUGAUUGUACAUUUGGAGUUGCUUCUUCUUCUUCUUCAUCGAUCUAGGAUGGGUUCCAGGCCGACAGCCUGGGAUAGCAAGGAUGGAUGUCGUUCUUAUUUUCUCGUUUGAUUUCGUCCAUAGUCGGACCCUGCUCUUACUCUUGAUGAUUAUGUAAUGUACUGAUGUGACUCUGAUGUAGCUUGUGGCGAGUGUAAGCCAACUCUGUAUAUAUAUCUCUUCUUUUCAGUACAUGUACUUGUAACGAUAUCCAUUCUUGCGACAUGACGAGAUGCGCUUCUAUCCCUGACGAGGCCUUCGUGCCAAAUUGAGGAUAGGGUCGUAUCUUGGGCGUGACAAGUUGGUAUCAGAGCAGUACCGACCUAGGAGCCCCCUUGAUUGAUCGAACUUGGCCGAGUCUAGUCUAGUGAAAAACUAUUUGAGUUUAGUUAUAUAUCGGAGAGUAGGAUUCUUUUUUCUCCUCUUCUAUGCUCUGGUGAGGAAUCUUGACGUAAUAAUUUACUCUACUCCUCUUCUCACUCAAAAAAAAUUUAGGAUCACGCGGAUAUUUUUGGAAUCUAUAUGAUGCCGAUUUGACGGAGUUCUGUCUUGGUGCCUCCUAUCUGCUUUAAGUCUCAGGGGAGUUGAGCUCCAGGAGAUUAUUGAGCACAUCGUUAUCAUUCAGAUUUCUUAAUAUCUCAGAACGAAGGAUGUUCGUAAUUGCUUCAAUACUAGUAGUGGCGAGAUAACCCCGAUGUCCCCAGUACUGGUGCAUAUUGUUCGGGAGUACUGCCAUACUUUGUAUCGUUGUGAUCACGAGGGUCUGUUGUAGAUGAAGGUCCGAGAUUCUGGUCGUGUGUUGACGGAUGUGAUACAAGUGACGGGUUAGUAUAGGAGUUGUGUGUUAUUACUCCUUGUAUUCGUGUACCAGAUUGCAUGACCAGAUAUUUCGGGAAUUCAUAGGCGGGAAUUCAAGUAGUUGCUUUUAGGACAAUCUUCCAACAAAUGCAUGAGGUUAGGUUGGGGUUCGACAUUUAGUGGGUUCGUUUGUUCAUGGUCGACUUACAGCGGUACACGUUGUGUCUUAAAGAGUCCUUGUAGCUUGCUACGACUCGGGGACGCUUCGUAUGUCGGGUGCACUGCCUUGCACUUGAUGGCUACUGUAAAAUCGAGCCCGUGCGAUCCUGUCCACAAAAAUAUCGGACGAAAUCUUUCCCAUGAGUUUGUUCUGGCUUGUUUCAUAAGCCUCACCCCUUGUUUUGUUGGAAUAUGGUAAUUCAAGUUGCUUCGAUGUCAUAUGGUGAUUUCAUAUCUUUCCAAGAGCGGUUCUCAUAUUUCUAUGAGAGUGAUAAUCCGUUUGCUUAAUCAUUUGACUUAUUAAUUCUUGUCAACCCGAGUCGUCGUGUUAAUUCUUUUCCAACCGGUGUGGUUCUCUCCAAGUGGAUACAAUCCUCUUCAAUUUUUGCAAGAUCAUUCUCUCAUUUUAUUCCGGAGUUCAUCUCAUCUGUACCAAUUUGUCUUUGUUUUUCCCGCCCUCCCGCCCUUUUCUUCAAUGUUUCAGUCAUCAUUCUAGUGCCUUCAUAUUCAGUGAUGCUUCCGCUAUCUCUUCUCCCUUUUGUACCCGGUGAUUCAUUGUGAUGAUUCUCAGGAUCUUCAUGUUCAUCCUUAUUCAGUCUUGUUAUUUUUCUGGUGAAUUCAAUUUAGUUGUUCGUGUCAUCUUAUCCAUUCAUCCUUGUAAUUCUUUCCUAUGUUGGGAAUUCUUAUGAGCAUAUCUUGUUAUUCAUUCCUGUCUUUUCUAUCCGGAGCGUUGAAGCUAUCUUAGAAGUUCUUGUUUCCAAUCUUUUAAUUAUUCUGAGGUUCUCAACCUUAUUUAGUUCUAUUCAUACCGGUGCAAUAUCUCUCUUCUAAGCAAUAUUUUUCUAACGGUGAUUUCUUUGAGUGGGCCCAUAACCCAUAGGUUCUUUCCCACGAUCUUUCCUGGCUCUUUUAAUCUUUUCCAGAGACCUCUAAAUCUUUUCAACUAUGACGUAAGUAUGAUUUUGAUCAGUCAUAUCCCUUCUUCAAGAUCUAUUUCAAUUAAUUCAUUCUUUGGCUCAACCUUUCAUUCUUCAUUAUUCCGGAGUGUCUCAUUAAUUCUUGGUGUUGCUCUCGCCAUCAUUCUCAGCUUGCAAUUCGAAGGACUCUUUCUCGCAAAUCUUGGUCCGUUCUUUUGAAGAUUCAUCAUUUCAGCUUUGUGCCAUCAUCUUAUUUGUUUCCAAUCAUGAGUGAUUCGUUUCUUGUUAUCUGGUGCAUUUCUGAGUUGUUUUUAUUUCUUUAUCCUCCGAAGGCCAUCAUUUCAGAAGAUUCUUCGUUCUCAGCUUUCAGCUUUCAUCCUCAAUUAUUCUCAAUUGUUGUCUCUUCGUUCGUCUCUCGUUUAUCCGGUGCCUUGUUCAAGUUUUGUCAAGUGGCUCAUGAUCUCUCCAUUCUCAUGUGUCUCCAUGCUUUCUUGGUGUUCCCAUUCAAUUGUGAAUUCUUACCGGUGCUUUCUUCAAUCAUGCCUCAAGUGAUGCUUAUCUCUCUCCUCAGUCAUUUCUAGAAGAAUAAGUAGUAUUCUAAAUCCGUUGCUUGUCAUCAAUUAAACUUGAUGAAGUACUAGCAUAACAUAAUUCUUAUUCUUGUUAAUAGUAAUCUGAGUUCUUCUUCCGGAGCGGCUCACGAUAUCAAUUCCUUUUUCUCAAGUGUGCUUAUCUUUUCUUUUCCGGAGUUUCAAGUUCUUUUAAGUAUCUCUUUGUGAGGCUUCUUCUAAAUCUUGGCAAGGUCAUAAUCUAAUUCUUUUCUACCUUCAUAUCGUUGCAUCAUUCAUAUGGAGGUCCUUCAUGGUGGUUCAUCAUGAUAUCAAUUCAUUCUCAAGUGUUCUUCAAGAUUCUUGUUGGAGAACCUCAAGUAUUCUUUCUCUUGCAUUUCCAAGUGCAUUUGUUCUUCCUUUAUCCUUUGAGGUGGUAUUAUAGCAUUCUUGUUAGUGUAGGAGCCUCGAAGAGUUUUCCUUUCAAGAAUGAGAUAAUUAAACCCACCAAUUCUAUGAUCAUGAGACAUUUUUUUUCAACCCAUGAUUUCUUCAUUGAGCUAUCUUGGUUUGGAUUUCACCUAAAGCUUUUCCUAUGGACUGUGCUAUCAUGGUGCUUGUCAUUAAUCCAAGUUCUCAAUGUAUCCUCUUGGUGCAAGUAAUUGUUCAUAUCUUGUUUCUCCCAAUAUUCCUUGUUUCUUCUGGUGGUUGGUUGUCACCUUAUAAAUGUGAGAUGAUUUUCUUAAGCCCACUACUAUCUUGUUCUUUCGUUGUUGUUUUCCAACAACUCCGUUCAAUUCUUCUUGCAAGGGUGCUUGUCAAGUUCAUUGGAGUUUACAGUUGUCAUUCUCUCUUCAUUCUCUUCUUUCGUAUGAGCUAGUUCCUAUUCUAUUGUUCCGGAGGCAUUGUGUUGUUGCUCUUUUGGGUCAAUCUUGUUGUUCUAUCAAGAUCAUGGUGUUUCCUUGCUCUAUUUAGUUGUUGGUUGUGAAUAUUGUCUAUUUCUUCCAUCUUAUCGAAUUUUUUGUCCCAUUUUCCUACCGAAGUGCUGCCGAAAUUUUUCGUGAAUUCUUGCUUCUUUCUCAUAUCAUUCCUCAUCUCUUUGGAACCUUCAAGGAUCAUUGGUUGCGCUCGUUUGUCAAAGAAGCGACUAAGUUGUUACCUCUUGUUCCUUCUCACCCUCUCCCCUUUCAUUCUUGGAUCUCGGGGCGAGAUCCUCUUGUAGUGUAGGAAAGUUGUGACAGCCCGAGACCGACGUUCCAGAAGAUCCCCUUUUCUUUCUGUUUCCGUCGUGUGGUUAUUUUUCGUUUGUUACAUCACCAUGUAGUUUGCAUCAUGGCAUCUUGCAUCAUAUGUUGCGUGUUGUGAUCUGGGUUGUGAGUGCUCUCGGUGUCCUUGGUGCAAUAGGUCACCGCCCUCCCUCCUCUUUUAGUUGUUUUGUGGCGGCGUUCAAGUUUUCAUUUUAUCCCCUUUAAAAAAAUAGGUUCAUUCUUCUUUUAAAAAAACCNUGAGUAUCGGGAUAGGUACUUUACCGUGGCAUCGUUUCCGAUUUGCCGCCAUGGUUCCCUCUCGCUCGCCGUGGCGACAUAUGCUUCUUUCCCUUCUUGCCGUGAUGUUGUACUUGCAUGCAUGUUGCAUCCAUGGCAUGAUAUAUUGUGUUGCAUGCCUCUUGUGCCGUAGCUCCGCUCUUUGUUCCGCGANNNNNNNNNNNNNNNNNNNNNNNNNNNNNNNNNNNNNNNNNNNNNNNNNNNNNNNNNNNNNNNNNNNNNNNNNNNNNNNNNNNNNNNNNNNNNNNNNNNNNNNNNNNNNNNNNNNNNNNNNNNNNNNNNNNNNNNNNNNNNNNNNNNNNNNNNNNNNNNNNNNNNNNNNNNNNNNNNNNNNNNNNNNNNNNNNNNNNNNNNNNNNNNNNNNNNNNNNNNNNNNNNNNNNNNNNNNNNNNNNNNNNNNNNNNNNNNNNNNNNNNNNNNNNNNNNNNNNNNNNNNNNNNNNNNNNNNNNNNNNNNNNNNNNNNNNNNNNNNNNNNNNNNNNNNNNNNNNNNNNNNNNNNNNNNNNNNNNNNNNNNNNNNNNNNNNNNNNNNNNNNNNNNNNNNNNNNNNNNNNNNNNNNNCUUAAUGUGUAGUGGUUGCAUGAGCUGAAUUGCCAUGCCAUCCCUUGCAUCUUUGAACUGAUCAUGCAUCAUAUUAGGGUAUGCAUCAUGUUGUGCAUCGUGUUGUGAAUAUUUGUGUUGAUGUUUGUUUCCGGUUUGCUCCGUUCUGAUAGAGUUCCGCAAGCGUGUCGGAAUGUGAGGACCCGUUCGACUACGUUGGUUCGCCGACUUCACAGAGUUGUUCUUCUUCCAAGCGGGAUCUCAGGCAAGAUGACCACUUCCCCAGAUACCAUUACUAUCAUUGCCAUGCUAGUUUUACCGCUUCUAUCGUUAUUUCUCGUUGCCUACCACAUGUUAAAUAUCAGCCUCUCAACAAUGCCAUGAUAACCUUCAACCUGUUCGACCUAGCAAACCNNGUGUAAAUAAUCGGGAGUGAAUUAAAUAAUUAAUCGUGGAGUUUCGUCGAUAUGCAACCCGUUGCAUAUCGAGCUUCACUUAAUGUGUAGUGGUUGCGUGAGAUGAAUUGCCAUGCCAUCCCUUGCAUCUUUGAACUGAUCAUGCAUCAUAUUAGGGUAUGCAUCAUGUUGUGCAUCAUGUGGUGAAUAUUUGUGUUGAUGUUUGUUUCCGGUUUGCUCCGUUCCGAUAGAGUUCCGCAAGCGUGUCGGAAUGUGAGGACCCGUUCGACUACGUCGGUUCGCCGACUUCACAGAGUUGUUCUUCUUCCAAGCGGGAUCUCAGGCAAGAUGACCAUUUCCCCAGAUACCAUUAGUAUCAUUGCCAUGCUAGUUUUACCGCUUCUAUCGUUAUGUCUCGUUGCCUGCCACAUGUUAAAUAUCAGCCUCUCAACAGUGCCAUGAUAACCUUCAACAUGUUCGACCUAGCAAACCANNNNNNNNNNNNNNNNNNNNNNNNNNNNNNNNNNNNNNNNNNNNNNNNNNNNNNNNNNNNNNNNNNNNNNNNNNNNNNNNNNNNNNNNNNNNNNNNNNNNNNNNNNNNNNNNNNNNNNNNNNNNNNNNNNNNNNNNNNNNNNNNNNNNNNNNNNNNNNNNNNNNNNNNNNNNNNNNNNNNNNNNNNNNNNNNNNNNNNNNNNNNNNNNNNNNNNNNNNNNNNNNNNNNNNNNNNNNNNNNNNNNNNNNNNNNNNNNNNNNNNNNNNNNNNNNNNNNNNNNNNNNNNNNNNNNNNNNNNNNNNNNNNNNNNNNNNNNNNNNNNNNNNNNNNNNNNNNNNNNNNNNNNNNNNNNNNNNNNNNNNNNNNNNNNNNNNNNNNNNNNNNNNNNNNNNNNNNNNNNNNNNNNNNNNNNNNNNNNNNNNNNNNNNNNNNNNNNNNNNNNNNNNNNNNNCGAUCGGGGUUGUUAUGGGGACCCCCUUGAUAAUUCGUUUUAUAUUAAAGCUGGUCUCGCAAGGCCCAACAUUGGUUCUACAUUUGCCCAACAUAAUAAUUCUGUUAAACUGAAAAGCAUAGGGCGUCAUGAACCCGAGGAGUAAUUUUACGUAAACAGGGGGGCCAGUGCUGAUGGUGUUGGUCCCAAAAGGAUAGACUGCGGGGCCACCACGGGGCAACUCGAGGUUUGGUAUCUGUAGGCUUUUCCAUUCGUCGUGUCCUGAGAAUGAGAUACGCGGCUCCUAUCGGGAUCGUCGACACGCCGGGCGGCCUUGCUGGAUUAGUUUUACCUUUGACGAGAUAUCUUGUGCAUCGGGAUUCCGGUGAUGCUUUGGGUAAUCUCAGAGUUGAGGUUUUCCACUAGGGAAUCCGACGAGAUCGCGAGCUUCGUGAUUGAGGAUUUCUAUGCGGCUUGUGGUAAUUUGUGAUGGACUAGUUGGAGCACCCCUGCAGGGUUAAAUCUUUUCGGAAAGCCGUGCCCGCGGUUAUGUGGCAACGUGGAAAUUUUGUUUAACACUGGUUCUAGAUAACUUGAAGUUAACUUAAUUAAAACAUGCCAACUGUGUGCAUAACCGUGAUUGUCUCUUUCGUGAGUUCCUUCUCCGAUCGAGGACACGGUGGGGUUAUGUCUGACGUAGGUAGGUGUUCAGGAUCAUUCAUUUGAUCAUAAGUAGUUCACGUCCGCUAUGCGUAGAUCUUCCCUCUCUUGUUUCUUGUACUCGUAAGUUAGUCACCAUAUACAUAUGCUUAGCCGCUGCUGCAACCUCACCACUUAACCAUGCCUCACCUAAUAAGCUUUGCUAGUCUUGAUACCUUUGGAAAUGAGAUUGUUGAGUCCCCUGUGGCUCACAAAUUACUACAACACCAGUUGCAGGUACAGGUAAAGGUUACUUGACGCGAGCGCGUUGAUUGUACAUUUGGAGUUGCUUCUUCUUCUUCUUAUUCAUCGAUCUAGGAUGGGUUCUAGGCCGGCAGCGUGGGAUAGCAAGGAUGGACGUCGUUCUUAUUUUCUCGUUUGAUUUCGUCCAUAGUCGAACCCUGCUCUUACUCUUGAUGAUUAUGUAAUGUACUGAUGUGACUCUGAUGUAGCUUGUGGCGAGUGUAAGCCAACUCUGUAUAUAUAUCUCUUCUUUUCAGUACAUGUACUUGUAACGAUAUCCAUUCUUGCGACACGACGAGAUGCGCUUCUAUCCCUGACGAGGCCUUCGUGCCAAAUUGAGGAUAGGGUCGCGUCUUGGGCGUGACACCCCGGGUCUAUUCACACCUAUCGUUUCCACUUUCGCUUUUACUUUGCUUUGUUACUUUGUUGCUUUCAGUUCACACUUGGCAAACAAUCUAUAAGGGAUUGACAACCCCUUCAUAGCAUUGGGAGCAAGCUCUUUGUGUUUGUGGUGGUACUUGUGAUAUUCCUUCACUGGAUCGAUACCUUGGUUCUCAAAACUGAGGGAAAUGCUUACCGUCGCUGUGCUACAUCACCCUUUCCGCUUUGAGGGAACACCAACGCAAGGCUCCAAGGCCACGGGGGAAAUCCUUUACAUAUUUGCCUAGGAAGUCCCUAAAGGUGUAGCCGUAGCAGAAGGAUUCCUGGUGCCGUUGCUGAGGAGUAUCAAGACAAGAAUAGUCUCCCGUCAGCACGCUUGUUUCUCGCACCGUUGGAAGGUCGUUUGUUGCAGUAGCAGACCCCUUUAUAAGGGUCUCUCUUCUACAUGCUAUUGGAGAGUGAGAAGAGAGGAGGCCCUCGCGCACUCCUCCUCCGCCGCCCGCCUAGCCACGACGCGGGUUGCGGGGAUGAGCCGAGCUCAUACCUACGCGCUUUAUUUCUGCCGGCCAGGAUCGGAGAAUACGUAACGGAUGCGCCACGAUCUGAGACGUUGGAUCGUGGGCUGUUACCGACUUAGACGUGGGUUCAGCCCACGUCUCUCCACCCGGCUGCCUAUAUAAGCAGGGCUAACGCCAACCCUAGCCGUCACAAAAUCAGAUCGCCUCUGCCUCACGCUCUCGUUCCUUUGUUGCUGUUGCCGCCGGCGACUCCGUCCCGUUCACCGCGUACACUGUCAACGGUAGAGCAUGCAUGACCGGAGAUGAGCUGGUUGAUGGAUAUUUACAUAUGCAUGUUGCCAAAGAGCCGUGGGAGGAGCUUGAAUUUAAACUCGGGGCCACCGAUGCUCGGAGUGAGAUGUAUGUUAUGGAGCAGUUCCACGAUUAAAAAAUGAUUGACAACCAUUCUGUAUUGGAAUAGGCUCAUGAGAUAAUAUGCAUUGCUAAAGAACUUGAGAUUCUUAAGUGCAAAUUGCGAGACAAGUUUGUCGCGGGCUGUAUAAUUGCUAAGCUCCCUAAUUCCUGGAGGAACUUUGCGACUACUCUGAAACAUCAGAGGCGUGGGUUCUCAGUAGAGGACAUCAUCGGCCAUCUGAGUGUUGAGCACAGCUCGAGAGCAAAGGACUCCAAUGGAAAAGCGGUCGAAAGCUCUUCUGUUGCCAAUAUGGUACAUCAGAGGAACUUCAUUUCCCACAAGCCCAAGGGAAAGAAUUAUGUCCAACAGAAUACCGACUUCAAGAAGAGGGAAAAGAAGACCUUCAAGAAGAAUAAGAAGGGAGAGGGCUGCUUCACUUGUGGUUCAGAUGAACAUUGGGCGAACAAGUGCCCAAACAAGCACAAGAAGCCGACGUAGGACUCCAAGUCUGCCAAUAUGAUUGUGGGCAACAAUGAAAGUGGUGCAUCUAGGUACGGUAAUUUAUUUACUGUAUUUUCAGUUUGUCAGUCCACCGAUUGGUGGGUGGACACAGGUGCAAAUAUUCAUGUGUGUGCUAACAUCUCAUUGUUCUCUUCUUAUCAGGCCACGGGUAGCGGGUUUGUAUUGGCGGGGAAUGGUGCGAGUGCUUCUGUUCUUGGUGUUGGCACGUUCGGUCUGAAGUUUACUUCGGGAAGGAUCGUGCAGCUAAGAACGUGUAGCAUGUCCCUGCCAUCAAGAAGAAUCUCGUUAGUGGCUCCCUUAUGUGUAGACAAGGGUUUAAGUUGGUCUUCGAGUCUAAUAAAGUAGUUGUUACGAAGUAUGGACUUUUUGUUGGAAAAGGUUAUGAAUGCAGAGGUCUAUUCCGCCUUUCCCUUCAGAUUUUUGUAAUAAAGUCGUGAACAAUAUUCAUUCGAGUGUUAAUGAAUCUGAAGUUUGGCAUUCACGUCUUUGUCACAUAAGUUACAGUGUUAUGUCACGGCUAGCAAAACUUAAUUUAAUCCCGAGUUUCACUUUAGCCAAAGGUUCUAAGUGCCAUUCGUGUGUGCAAGCAAAGCAACCUCGCGAGCCUCACAAGGCUGAAGAGGAGAGACACUUGGCGUCAUUAGAACUCAUACAUUCUAAUCUUUGUGAGAUGAAUGAUGUGUUGACUAAAGAUGGAAAGAAAUAUUUCAUGACAUUGAUAGAUGAUUCCACUAGAUAUUGCUAUGUGUAUCUGUUAAAUACUAAAGAUGAGGCUCUACACUACUUUAAAAUAUAUAAGGCAGACGUUGAGAAUCAACUUGAAAAGAAAAUUAAACGAGUCUGUUCUGAUCGUGGUGGAGAGUACUUCUCAAAUGAGUUUGAUUCUUUUUGUGCGGAACACGACAUUAUUCAUGAAAGGACGCCUCCCUAUUCACCCGAUCAAACGGGGUUGCCGAACGGAAAAAUCUUACUCUAACUGAUUUUGGUUAACACAUGUUUGAUACAUCGGGUUUAUCCAAGGCAUGGUGGGGGAAGGCUAUAUUGACCGCGUGUUAUGUCCUGAAUAAGGUUCCUACAAAAGAUAAUGAGGUCACUCCCUAUGAGGAGUGGUCGAAGAGAAGGACGACGCUCUCGUACUUACGUACUUGGGGCUGCUUGGCGAAGGUCAAUGUGCCGAUCCCCAAGAAGUGUAAGCUUGGACCAAAGACUGUGAACUGCGUUAAUUUGGGAUACGCUAAGAAUAGCGUAGGUUAUAGAUUUCUAGUAGUGAAAUCUGAGAUACCUGACGUGAAGGUCGUUACAAUUAUGGAGUCGAGGGAUGCUACAUUCUUUGAGGAUAUUUUUUCCCAUGAGAGAUAUGCAACGCACUUUUAGACAAGAAUCUGAGGAAACUCGUGAGCCUACCAUUCCUAUGGAAUAUUAUGAACAAACACAUGAUGAUAAUCCUGAGGAGGAUGACGAGGAAACCCUUGGUAGGGGCAAGAGACAAAGGACUACAAAGACCUUUGGUGAUGAUUUCUUCAUAUACCUUGUGGAUGAUAAUCCCACUUCUAUUUCAUAAGCGUAUGCUUCUCCAGAUGCUGAUUACUGGAAAGCUGCGGUCGUAGCGAGAUGGAUUCCAUCAUGGCUAAUGGGACAUGGGAAAUUACUGAUCGUCCCUAUGGUUGUAAACCACUAGGAUGCAAGUGGGUGUUCAAAAGCAAGCUUAGGCCCGAUGGUACAAUCGAAAAGUACAACGCUAGGCUUGUGGCUAAGGGCUAUGCCCAGAAAGAAGAAGAAGAUUUCUUUGACACUUAUUCACCUGUGGCCAGACUAACCACCAUUCGAGUACUACUCUCGUUGGCAGCCUCGCAUGGUCUUCUUUUUCAUGAAAUGGACGUUAAGACGACUUUCCUGAACAAAGAGCUAGACGAGGAAAUCUAUAUGCAACAGCCAGAUGGCUUUGUGAUAGAUGGUCAGGAAAGAAAAGUGUGUAAGUUGUUGAAAUCUUUACAUGGACUGAAGCAAGCACCUAAGCAAUGGCAUGAUAAGUUUAAUACAACUCCGACAUGUGUUGGUUUCGUUGUUAAUGAAGCUGACAAGUGUGUAUACUAUCGCCAUGGUGGGGGCGAAGGAGUUAUAUUGUGCUUGUAUGUUGAUGACGUACUGAUAUUUAGAACCAACCUCAAGGUGAUUGAGGAGGUUAAGUACUUUGUGUCUUAAAACUUUGAGAUGAAGGACCUUGGAGUGGCUGAUGUUAUCUUGAACAUCAAGCUAUUGAGAGAUGAUGAGGGUGGGAUUACACUUCUGCAAUCCCACUAUGUUGAGAAGAUUUUGAACCGCUUUGGAUAUUCAAACUGCAAAAAUUCUCAAACACCAUGAUCCUAGUGUGCUUAUUCGAAAUUUCAAAGGCACAACUAUAGAUCAAUUGAGAUUAUUUCAAAUUAUCGGUUCGCUUAUGUACCUAGCUAGCCAACGAGGCCUGACAUCACGUUUGUUGUGAGCAAACUUAGCCAGUUUGUUGCAAACCCGGGCGAUGUUCAUUGGCGUGUUGUUGAAAGAAUUAUGCGCUACCUGAAAGGUACUGUCAACCACGGACUUCACUAUAUGGGAUACCCAUCGGUACUUAAAGGGUAUAGUGAUGCGAAUUGGAUCUCUGAUGCUGAUGAGAUGAAGGUCACUACUGGGUAUAUAUUUACUCUUGGAGGUGGUGCUGUUUCCUAGAAGUCUUGCAAGCAAACGAUCUUAACGAGAUCGACAAUGGAAGCAGAAUUAACAGCAUUAGACACAUCUGGUGUCGAAGUAGAAUUUCUUCGAUAUAUUUUGAUGGACUUACGUGUGGUUGAGAAGCCGGUUCCGACUAUCCUUAUGAACUGCGAUAAUCAGACAAUUAUUGUCAAAGUGAAGAGUUCAAAGGACAAUAUGAAGUCCAACAAACAUAUAAGAAUGAGAUUGAAGUCUAUCAGACGUUUGAGAAACUCCGGAGUGAUAUCGUUGGAUUACAUCCAAAUGGCUAAGAAUCUGGCAGAUCCCUUUACUAAAGGGCUAUCAUGGGUUGUGAUAGAUAGUGCAUCGAGGGAGAUGGGUAUGAGACCCACAUGAGUUGCCAUGGCAGUAACCCAACCUAUAUGAUCGGAGAUCCCGUGAAGUAGGACCUGGGAAAACAAGCCAGUGGUGAACUGAGAAGAGUAACUUUACUAACCCACUCUGUUGGAGAUGCAAUGCUCUCGGAUACUGUAUGGUAGGAUGACUACUGUCUUAAUGUGUUUUAAAGCUUAUGUGUAAGCAAGAUGCUGUCCUACAGAGCGAUCUUUGGAGGAACACAUCUAUAUGAGCCUGACUACUGGUCAAAGUCUAUGAGAUUGAGGUGAUAUAUAGUAAACUCAUGAAUAGGCCAGGAGUGUGACUAAUAUGCUCCACCCGAGGGGUCAGCCUUCGGUAGCCUAGUACUAGUAAGACUUGUGGUGAAGCUUCUUUACGCCAGACUGACAAUUCAAGGCAUGGUCCAUUGUUCCGUUGUAAAGGGGUGUAACUGCUUGUUCUAGGUGAAGCUCAACAUUAACAGAUCUUCACUGAAAUGCUGGUAUAUUAAAAUAGUGAUUGAAGCGAGGGAACACGAUGUGCCCUUGAGAUGUGGUGGGGGAUUGUUGAAAUUAGUAGUGGGCUUUAGGCCCAUAAGAGAAUUUCAGAAAUAUCCAAGGGCCCAUGUAGGUGGUGGCAUGACAAGGUGGUGGUGGGAAGUUUAGUCCCAUCCCGCUAGUGGAGAAGAAAUUGGACCCCUUUAUAAGGGUCUCUCUUCUACAUGCUAUUGGAGAAUGAGAAGAGAAGAGGCCCUCGCGCAUUCCUCCUCCUCCGCCCGCCUCGCCACGCCUCGUCACGACGCGUCGCGGGUUGCGGGAAUGAGCCGAGCCGAGCUCAUACCUACGCGCUUAUUUUUGUCGGACAGGAUCGGAGAACAUGUAACGGACGCGCCACGAUGUGAGACGUCGGAUCGUGGGCUGUUACCGACUUGGACGUGGGUUCAGCCCACGUCUCUCCUCCAAGGCGCAAGGGACGAUUCUAGGGGGGUACGAGGGGGGGGGCUAGACCCCCCUAACAAAUUGAUUUUUCUACUAUGAUAGUGGUUGCUGUGGCCAAUUUUUUUUACUUCAUAUGAACUUUGCCCCCUCCAUGAACAAACUUGCCCCCCCCUAUACUUGCAUGUUGGCUCCAUCCAUACCAACCGCCUAUAUAAGCAGGGCUAACGUCAACCCUAGCCGUCACGAGAUCAGAUCGCCUCUGCCUCACGCGCUCGUUCCUUUGUUGCUGCCGCCGUCGGCGACUCCGUCCCGUUCACCGCGUACACGGUUGACGGGAGAGCAGGCCUUCGAAACCCCGUCUCUCCGGUUCCUGUACGGGAUAGAGGCGAAUAAGUUUUUGGGAAGCGACUACGCGACUGCUCGCCUUCAAUCCACUACUUCCUCCACAUCUGCGUCGUCUCUGUCAUCACCAUGUCCACCGACGCCGAACGUGAUGCCGCCGAGAAGACCGAGGCCGACAAGAAGGCCGCCGAGGACGCUGCUGCUGCCGCCACCGUCGCGGCAGCUUCUGCAUGGCCUACUGGAGGGUAUAACACGUUUAUCCCUCUCCUGAUUAUUUCUGUAUUAGCAGUACUAGCAUCAUGUAUAGAUUUGUCUACUGCUUGCGUAGUACGUGCUUGUUUAGAUCAGUAUCAGUAUGUCGUUAAUUAUAUCAAUGCCACGCUAGUCAUCUAAUUAUGGAUUAAAUUAGUAGAAAAAUUGCCUAUUUACUCAGCAGCGACAAGGCCUAGGAGAUCGGUAUGGUGAGAUGAUCGAUCUCACAUGGUCGAUCACCGUGCCAAGGGACCUCAAACGUUUGUGCUACCCCGUGCACAUGCGCGUUGUUGCCCCGAUCGGCCUUGACGUAUCAUGGCCGCGUCGUUCAUGGUGAAUUAAGAUCUCGGCACAUCACGAUCACGGGCGUCGAGCGUCUCGGUAUAUCAUGAUCACGGGUGUCAAGCGUCCCGACAGAUCACGGCUGCAAGGGUUGUGGAGAGUUAGCCGACACGUUGACGGCGAACGACUCCAUGUUGACGUACUCGUCAACUAGAUGCUCCUCACCCCUGCUCCCCAUUGACAUACUCACCACGGUCGUCGGCGGCAGCGGUGACGGGCAUGAAGCAGAUGUCGGCUGUGGUGGUUAGGUUAUGGUUGUGAGAACGUGGGUUCAUGGGUUAUAUAUAUAGCCAAUGUACAAGGCGUUGGAUCCUUUUGUUAAAAUCCAGCGGGAGACAAGAGGUGUGAUCGUGAGCGUGGGAUCAAACUUGUGAUAUAGAGCGUUUCCACGAGAUGUAACACUAAAUUUCACCCCGGUCAAAGAAUCAUCACUGCACUGAUCAUCGAGAAAAUAAUCUAACCUCACACGUAAAAUCAAGAGUAACAGCUAGUACUAUUUUGCAAAAAAAAAAUAUUAAAAGUAACAACGAGAGACAAAGAAAUCGACAACCCCAAGCAGGCGAGCAUCGGAUUUGGAUCCAACCACGCACAAGCCCUAGCGGUGGCGACGACAACGAUUGGUGUAUCUGCUCCGCUGAGGGCAUUUAUUUUGUGAUCCCGGAUCAUCCGGACUCUGUUCCAAAUCAUUCGAGCAGGUCAACUUCUAGGCAAAUGGCUCUAUCUGACUCAAAGUAUAUAAAGCCCCUUACCCCUUCGGGAUUGAACUCACUACUACACUCAAACACACCCAAAGAACACAAGUGCUCCCUCUCUCUUGCUUCCAUGAAAUCCUAGAUCCCUAGUCAGUCUUUGUGAGCUUGAGAGAGUUGUUUCAAUCAAAUGAAAUAUCCACUACUUCCACUUUGUGUGACCCAAGGAACUCGUGGUUUGAGCAAGUCUCGAGCUUUCCCUUUGGAUCUUGUUACUCUUGGAGGUUGGAGACUCCUAGGUGGUAGGAGUACUCCGGUGAGGAAUCGUUCAUUGUGAUUACCCCCAGAAAGUUUGUGAGUGUUUGGAGGCCACCUCAGGGCCUACCACUAGUGGCUUAGAAAUGCCUUCGUGGUAUUGUCUCAAGGAGAGAAUAGGGUGUGCCUUCGUGGUGUUGGUGUGCCUUCAUGGUAACAUCCACCUUUCUAAAGAGUGACGUAGCUUUCCUCCAAGGAAGUGAACACCGUGAUACAUCCUCGUCUCUCGGAGUUGCGGUUAUUCCGAACCCUAGCUUCUUACUUAUGGUUACUUGUCUCCUUACUUGUUACACUUGUUUUCAUAUUAGGGCUCCUUUGAUACAAAGGAAUUCUAUAGGAUUUUUGGAGGAUUGAAACCCUUAGAAUUAUUUCUUACGUUGGUCCUUUGAAUCAUAGGAUUCAAUCUCAUAGGAAUUUUUCCUAUGGAAUCUUUUGUACUACAUUUCAUAGGAAAUCUAACAUCCACUCCAACUUCUUUUUUACAAUUCCUUUGUUUUUCUUGUGGCAUCAAACACUCCUUACUAAUCCUAUAGGGUUCAAAUGGACAUGCCACUUCAAUCCUCUAUUUUUCCUAUUCCUGCGUUUUGAAAAUCCUGCGAAUCAAAGAGGCCCUUAAGGUUUGAUUAUUUAUUUAGGUGCUUAGCUUGUAUACCAUACGUGUUACAUUACCACUAGUGCAAUUGUUAGACUAAAAUACAUAUUCCGCAUUAUUACCUAAGAUUACUAAGUAACAACUAAAAUUUGUAAUUGUAUCUAUUCACCCCCUCUCUAGGUCCAUCUUGAUCCUUUUCACGAAGGACACGAAAAUAGAACUCCUUUCUUUCUAACUCCCUUUUUCAACCCCUUUGAAAAUUUUGUUUCUAAUCCUCUUCUAUUAGAAAACGACCACAUGUUUUGUAGCACCCGCCAAGCCUAGGAGUAAUGCUGGUGAAAAGAAACUUCAAAGAAAAUCGUGCGUGGUGCAGCUGUCGCGAAGCCAACGAAAGGAAGUCAUGCCUUCUACCAAUAGUAGAAAGAGGAAGACCUGUGGUGGGAUUCACAUCGAGGAUCCCAUAUACCCUACCUCGACCCGCCAAGCGCCCCAACAGAGCCAAUCUACGGUGGCUGAGGAGGGUCGUGCGAUGAAGCUGCGUGGAGCUUGCGUGUGGAGGUGAUCCGUCAUUUUUUUCUUUGAUGACUACUAUGGUGUUGCGAGAGGCACGUGAUGGACGUUGGUGUCAAGCUCAUAGGUUUGUUCGUCUUGUUUGUAAUUUUUCUUCUUGGCUGGUGUUUCUUUGUGCAAAUACUAGUGUUCUGCUACGUAUUAAGUUUUGUCAGGUCGAUGUGUACGUGACUUAUACUAUAAUCCUUAUGAUAUAAACGAGACACAUAUUAGCAUAUAUAAAAAAAUGAUGAAGGCCGUGCAAGCCAAAGUUCUUUAGAUCAUUUGUUGCAUUUGGACCUGAUGCCAUGUUUAAAUUUGUUUCUAAAAUUUGAAUUUAUGGAUCUAUAAUGCGUGAGUAGAGUUUAUAUGGAUAAAAAAUUUAACAAUAUUUUUUUUAGAAAAUUGACUCCACACACAUGCUUUGUAGGCUUUAUUCGUCCGGAAUGAUACCUUAAAACCACCUUUUUUACCUUAAAACCAUUUCAAAGGCUUCUUUAUGCGGAACCUGCUCGGAAUAACAAGGCACAAGAGAUGCACCACUAAAUUUCACCCCGGUCAAAGAAUCAUCACUGCACUGAUCAUCUAAACCAAUAAUCUAUCCUCGCACGUAAGAUCAAGAGUAACAACUAGUACUAUUUUGCAAUAAAUAAAAUAAAAUAAAAUAAAUAACCAGAGACAAAGAAAUCGACANNNNNNNNNNNNNNNNNNNNNNNNNNNNNNNNNNNNNNNNNNNNNNNNNNNNNNNNNNNNNNNNNNNNNNNNNNNNNNNNNNNNNNNNNNNNNNNNNNNNNNNNNNNNNNNNNNNNNNNNNNNNNNNNNNNNNNNNNNNNNNNNNNNNNNNNNNNNNNNNNNNNNNNNNNNNNNNNNNNNNNNNNNNNNNNNNNNNNNNNNNNNNNNNNNNNNNNNNNNNNNNNNNNNNNNNNNNNNNNNNNNNNNNNNNNNNNNNNNNNNNNNNNNNNNNNNNNNNNNNNNNNNNNNNNNNNNNNNNNNNNNNNNNNNNNNNNNNNNNNACCCCAAGCAGGCGAGCAUGGGAUAUGGAUCCAACCACGCACGAGCCCUAGCGGCGGCGGCGGCGGCGGUUGGUGUACCACAGGGCGUAGCACGCGAUGCGACCACGGGGGGUGCGCGAUCGGCGCACACCACCAUCCCCCGUGACCGUGAGCUCAAAAAGGUCCAGACGAGGGCGGUCCAAUGGAGCAACGACACGUGCCGCCCCUCCCCCACAGCGGUCCACUGGACACGGCCCACGCGGCCCGCCACCCCCCGCGCCCGGCUCGCGCGGACUCCCGGUUUGACCGGGCCCGCCCACGCGCCGUGCCGCGACGCGUCGGCCCGCGAUUGGACGGCUGCCCCCGUUGCCAGGCGAGCUUCUCGAGGGGCCGCACCCAUCGCCCUCCUAUUUUUCUAUCCCCCCAUCCCGCACCCCUCCCCUCCCUAUUCCUAUCNUAUCCCCCCCGCCCCCUCCCCACGAACCCACCCCACAGCCAGCGCCCACUCGCCCGAGAUCCGCUGCCGAGGCCCGUGAGAACUCCGCCGCGCCAGAGGAAAAGGUACUCCCCUCCCCCUCCCUUUCCCCUCUGCUCUCGGUGCGAGCCACCGGUUGAUUGUUGUGCGGGGAUCAGAGGUGAGGCGACCCCGCGCGUACCGCGGCCGGAUCCAUUUCCGUUUCCGUUUUUCUGCUUUUGAUUUGUUCGCGUCGGGCUAGAUCCUGGCCUGGAUCGGGCUGGAUCUGGCGCUGGCUUGCUGGAUCGGUUAGGGUUCGAGAUCGGAUCUGGUGCGGUAGUUAGGUUUUCCCAGAGCGGUGGUCUUCCUGCCGGAAACGCGGCUUGUUGACCGUCUUUACCCUUUGGUUGGGCCGGUUUCAGUGGAGAUCGACGGGCGAAUUUCAGGAGGUUUCGAGAUCUGGCCAGGAGCAUGGUAAUGCGCACCGUGCCGAUGCUCGUGGUGGUGCUGGGUCUCUAGAUCCGGCGCGCAUCUAGGUAGAUGUGAUGCGAAUCUCGUCGGACGAGCUCUAGAUCUAGUCAUAUUAUUAAAAGUAGGACGCAAGUUUUUAUGUGUUUGGACCGUUCUAAUUUCAACUUGAUGUUUGUUUGCUUGUUAUUCCGUGGAAUAUUGUUUUCUCAACCUGAUGUUCGGUGGUGUUAGGCUAGAUUUGUCGAUUAGAAUAUCGGAAAGUCGGAGAAUAAAAGCAGAAUAUUGACAGCUCAUUUUGAGGAUGUAGUAGGAUAUCUAGAUGCCUACACUCCAUAAAGUGAUUCCUUGCCUAGGUUGAUAAAGUAGGCUAGUUCUCUAACUAUGCUGUUUCAUAUAAAACUGCUCACACCACUUGCGAAUCAGGGAAAGAGGGUGACUUGCGUAACUGUAUAUUCUCUUUCCUUUGGUUCAUUGUUCUUCAUCAGAUUCUUAAACUAGCUAGAUUGUUGAUCCCACAUGCACUGUUCUUCACGGUGUAAGGGCAGCUUGUAAUAGUGACAACUUUGUAUUUGCAGGCACUGAACUAGGUUGUAACAAGGAACAGGGAAGAUGUCUACCGCUGAGGCAACCCGUGAGGAGAAUGUGUACAUGGCCAAGCUCGCUGAGCAGGCUGAGCGUUACGAGGAAAUGGUUGAAUUCAUGGAGAAGGUGGCAAAGACCGCUGAUGUCGGUGAGCUCACUGUUGAGGAGCGCAACCUGCUGUCUGUGGCUUACAAGAAUGUGAUUGGUGCCCGGAGGGCAUCCUGGAGGAUCAUCUCCUCCAUUGAGCAGAAGGAGGAGAGCCGUGGGAACGAGGCCUAUGUCGCUUCGAUCAAGGAGUACCGUACCAGGAUUGAAACUGAGCUCAGCAAGAUAUGCGAUGGCAUCCUCAAGCUUCUGGACUCCCACCUCGUCCCCUCUGCCACUGCAGCAGAGUCCAAGGUGUUCUAUCUGAAAAUGAAGGGUGAUUACCACAGGUAUUUACUUGCAGCAUACAGAGAAUUAGACCAGUCCAUAGUUGUUGUACACAAAUUUACUUUAUACUCACUGAUUGCGAAACCAUAGGUACCUUGCGGAGUUCAAGGCCGGUGCUGAGAGGAAAGAAGCAGCUGAGAACACUCUUGUUGCGUACAAGUCAGCCCAGGUUAGAUUUUAUGGAUCGUUUGCUACUUUGAAACAUCCAGUUUCACCUACCAGUUUGCUUUAUCAUCAUUCUCUUGCAAAAUUGAAUACAUGUUCCAUCUUUCCUGUUUGGGACCAAGUUCCUUCAAUUUUUCGGAUAUGCUAUACUACUGGCUAUUCUUUUCUUUGUGUAUGUUCUCUUUCAUUGGGUGCACAUGCUGACAUCUUUUUACUUGUUCAGGACAUUGCUCUUGCUGACUUGCCUACUACUCACCCGAUUAGGCUUGGGCUUGCACUCAACUUCUCAGUGUUCUACUAUGAAAUCCUGAACUCUCCAGACCGUGCUUGCAACCUUGCCAAGCAGGUUAGUCUUCUCUGUUUUGUACUUCAUAUCUUUUGAUGAUGAAAAGUACACCUGAGUGCUAUUCCUCAUUGAAGCUAUACCAGUCUGAUCUCUGGUUAUAUUGUCACAUCAACAUUUCUUAUGCUUUCCUUUAUGGUAGAGCAUUGUCAAGUUUUUGUAUGCAAGAUGAACAUAAAUCCUUGCUAACUAUGCCAACCACUCAAAAUGAUUCAUGCCGCUGAGAAUUUAAUUUGAACCAACACUUGACGUACUGUUAUAUGUCUAGACUGAUAUUAAUACUGGUAUGUAUACUUCUUGGUAGGCAUUUGAUGAAGCUAUUGCUGAGCUGGACUCCCUCGGCGAGGAAUCCUACAAGGACAGCACCUUGAUCAUGCAACUUCUUCGUGACAACUUGACCCUCUGGACCUCCGAUAACGCAGUAUGCCCCCCUCAAAAACUAUUUCCUGUAUUUGUUCAUUAUGUGGGGUGUUGAAAACCCUGUUGCUCAUAAUCCUGCUAAACUUUUCCAGGAGGAGGGUGGUGAUGAGAUCAAGGAAGCUGCCUCAAAGCCUGAGGGAGAGGGGCACUGAUUGGCCCUCAAGAGUGUGCCCAAGUUUAUUUCUGAGUCCAUUUACGCAGCUACCUGUAUCAUUCGGAUCAUAAGAUGUACUAGGGUCGGUUGCACUAUGUGAAUCAUAAGAUGUGGUAGGAUGGUGCUAUGCGAAGCGUGUCGAGCUGAAGUACCUAGUGGACUACAGUCAUGAGGACGGUCAUGUGGACAUCGUCGCUUCUUAGUUCAUUAGCAGAUUUCAAACUAUUUCCUGUAUUGCAGCACAUUAUUAGUAUUGCUGUAUUAGCAAUUUUCAUGGCUUGUUGAUGAUUGAUCAUACUUCGCGUAAGGCGCCCCUAAAGCUUGUGCCUUUCUUAUGAGGCAACAACUGAGAUUUUCUUGUCUACUUUCCCUCUCAAAAUAAUUGAAGUUCUAGGAUUCUUCCCUUAGCUUAAUUAUGAAAUGUAUUUUCGUAUUAUUAUAUCGAUCAACAUGUUCAACAUCAAUUUUAUUCCCUUAUUUUAAUUUUGAAAUGUAUUUCUGUAUUUUUAUGAUGUCCUGUCGUUUUUUCUGAUGAUAUUUAAUCCCUCUUUAUGUUUAUAUUUGUACUCUAGACAAUUAAACUUUGUUCCAAUUUAGUGACUUAAGCCAAGAGCAAUAUGCACAAAAAACUUUUCAUCCUAUGUCCCAAGAGCCAAGCCAAGAGCAAUAUGCCACAUGAGAAGCCAAUAUCACGGCCCUUCUAAUUUCCCAGAAGUCCUCUUCUUCAACGUCAAUUUCAUCUCUUUGAAUGAAGCAUGCUUCCCUCUCUACACCUCUUUGCUUCGUCAUCUACCUUUUCUUGUCUCUUUGACAUCUUGACACCUUGCUAAUUUCUCCUGUUUCUUGAACGUGACUAUUUGUGUCAGAUGGAUGGUUCUAGGCCCAAAUAGAUGCUAACAUGGAUGGUUACGAUUGUGUGUACAAAUAUUGUCCUCCCUUUAAUCCAAAUUAAUUGACACAACUUAAAUCAUCUCAAACUUUUCUCUCUAGGCACAAAACUUUAAUCCUUCCUAAGUCUCUCCUCUUGAUUCGUCCACUCGAGUCUCCAUGAAGUUAGAGUACGGCUUUGUAGAUCUCCCAUCUUCCUUCUCUUCUACUCCAUCCUUGCUCUCUGAGAAGAGGAGUGAUUUGACAUCGGUCUUUUUGGUAAAGCGUCACGAUUCCUUGAGUGUAAAAAGAUUUCAUUCAGACUAAUGCAUAUGCUUGUAUGGUAAUUUUCAUGUGGCAUCGAACAAUUCAUGAUGAGAGAUAUGUUUUAUCUUCUUAUAAUAGUAUAGAAAACUGGCUAGAAUAGGCAAAUCUAUGAGUUUGGACGAAUAUCCCAUAACCGGACCUUGGGGUCCCCCGAACUUUCGGAUCGCAGCGGGACAUAAAACCAGUGAUUAAUAUCAUAGAAAACUUACGAGAAUAGGCCAAAAAUGUGAGUUUUGAUGAGCUUCCCGUAUUCGGAACCCAUGGUGCCUCGAACAUUCGGAUCGCUCGAGGACCAAAAAUCAGUGAGUAAUAGUAUUGAAUACUUGUCAUAACAAGCCAAAGAUGCGAGUUUUGACAACCUUCCCGUAACCGGGCCCCAAAGUUCCCCGAACACUCGGAUCGCAGCGGGUCCCAAAUCAGUGAGUAAGAAAUUGGCCAAAAUAGGCCAAACCCGCGAGUUUUGACGAGUUCCCCGUAACUGUACCCCGGGGUUCCCCGAUCGUUUGAAUCGCGACAAGACUCCAAAUCAGUGACUAAUAGUAUGAAAAACUGCCCAGAAUAGGCCAAAGUUAUGAGUUUUUGACGAGUUCCCCGUAACCGAACCCCGCGAUUUCCCGGAUGUUCGAAUCGUGUGGGACACAAAAUCAGUGAGUAAUAGUAUAGGAACUCGCCACAAUAGGCCAAAUAUGCGAGUUUUGAUGAGUUCCCCGUAACCAGACCACUGGGUUCCACGGACGUCCGGGUCGCCGACACUCAAAAUCAGUGAGUAAUAGUAUAGGAAACUAGCCACAAUAGGUCAAAUCUAUGAGUUUUGAUGCGGUCCCCGUAAGCGGAGGCGGAGUUCCCCGAACGUUCGGAUCGCACUCGGACCUAAACUCAGUGAGUAAUAGUAUAGAAAACUAGCCAGAAUAGGUGAAAUCUAUAAGUUUUGAUGAGUUCCCCGUAACCGGACCCCGGGGUUCCACGCACUUUCGGGUCGCCCCGGGACUCAAAAUGAGUGAGUAAUAGUAUAGAAAAUUAGCCACAACAGGCCAAAUCUAUGAGUUUUGGCGAGGUCCCCAUAAGCGGAGCGCGGAGUUCCCCGGACGUUCGAGUCGUAGUGGGACCCAAAAUCAAUGAGUAAUAGUAUUGAAAACUAGCGAGAAUAGGUCAAAUCUACGAGUUUUGACGAGUUCCCCGUCACCGGACCCGAGGGUUCCACAAACGUUAGGGUUAUCCGAGGACUCAAAAUUAGUGAGUAAUAGUAUAGAAAACCGGCCAGAAUAGAGCAAAACUAUGAGUUUUGGUGAGUUCCUCGUAACCGGAUCGCGGGGUUCCCGGAACGUUCGGAUCGUCCCGUGACCCAAAAUCAAUGAGUAAUAGUACAUAAAACUAGCCACAAUAUGCCAAAUCUAUGAGUUUCGCCGAGGUACCCGUAAAGGGACCCCGAAGUUCUAUGGACGUUGAGAUCGUAGCGGGACCCAAAAUCACUGAGUAAUAGUAUACAAAAUAGGCUAGAAUAGGCCAAAUCUCCGAGUUUUGACGACUUCCCCAUAACCGUAUCCAAGGGUUUCCCAGACGUUCGAAAUGCAGAGGGACCCAAAAUUAGAGAGUAAUAGGAAAGAAAACUAGCCAAAAUUGCCAAAUUUGUUAGUUUUGAGGAGUUCCCGUUACCGGACCCACGGGUUCUCGAGAGGUUCGUAUGAUAGCGGGACCUAAAAUAAGUGAGUAAUAUUAUAGAAAACCGGCUAGAAUAGGCCAAAUUUGUGAGUUUGGACAAGUACCCCAUAAUCGGACACUGGGGUCCCCAAACUUUUGGGUCGUAGCGGGAUAGAAAAUUAGUGAGUAGUGGCAUAGAAAACUAGCGAGAAUAGGCCAAACUGCGAGUUUUGAUGAGUUCCCCAUAAUCGGAACCCAUGGUUCCCCGAACGUUCAGAUCGCACGAGGACCCAAAAUCAAUGAGUAAUAGUAUUGUAUACUAGAGAGAAGAGGCCAAAGCUGUGAGUUUUGCCGAGUUCCCCAAAACCGGGCCCCAAACUUCCCCGAACGCACGGAUUGCAGUGGGAUCCAAAACUAGUGACUAAGAAAACUCGCCAAAAUAGGCCAAAUCCGCGAGUUUUGACGAGUUCCCCGUAACCAUACCCCGGGGUUCCCCGAUCGUUUGAAUAGCGAUGAGACCCAAACUCAGUGACUAAUAGUUUAGAAAACUACCCAGAAUAGGCGAAAGUUGUGAGUUUUGAUGAGUUUCCCGUAACUGAACCACGGGGUUCCCUCGACGUUCGGAUCACGCGGGACCCAAAAUCAAUGACUAAUAGUAUAGAAAGCUAGUGAGAAUAGGCCAAAUCUGCGAGUUUUGGCGAAUUCCUCGUAACCACACCCCGGGGUUCCACAGACGUUCCUGUCGCCCCGGGACUCAAAAUCAGUUUGUAAUUGUAUAGAAAACUAGCCAGAAUAGGCCAAAUCUAUGAGUUUUGGCGAGGAUGCCGUAAGCGGACCCAGAGUUCCUCGAAACCGGACCCCGAGGUUCCACGAAUGUCCGGGUUGCCCCGGGACUCAAAACUAGUGAGUAGUAGUAUAGAAAACUGGCCAAAAUAUGUUGGGGAACGUCGCAUGGGAAACAAAAAUUUUCCUACGCGCACGAAGACCUAUCAUGGUGAUGUCCAUCUACGAGAGGGGAUGAGUGAUCUACAUACCCUUGUAGACCGUACAACAGAAGCGUUAGUGAACGCGGUUGAUGUAGUGGAACGUCCUCACGUCCCUCGAUCCGCCCCGGGAACUAUCCCGCGAUCAGUCCCACGAUCUUGUGCCGAACGGACGACACCUCCGCGUUCAGCACACGUACAACUCGACGAUGAUCUCGGCCUUCUUGAUCCAGCAAGAGAGACGGAGAGGUAGAAGAGUUCUCCGGCAGCGUGACAGCGCUCCGGAGGUUGGUGAUGAUCUCGUCUCAGCAGGGCUCCGCCCGAACUCCGCAGAAACGCGAUCUAGAGGAAAAACCAUGGAGGUAUGUGGUCGGGCUGCCGUGGAAAAGUCAUCUCAAAUCAGCCCUAAAACCUCCGUAUAUAUAGGUGGGAGAGGGGGGACCUUGCCUUGGGGCUCAAGGAGCCCCAAGGGGGUCGGCCGAGCCAAAGGGGGGAAGGACUCCCCCCCAAACCGAGUCCUACUUGGUUUGGUUGGUGGAGUCCUUCUUUCCUUUCCCACCUCCUCCUUUUUCUUUUGUUUUCUCUUUGUUUUUUCUUCCAAUGCGCAUAGGGCCCUUUUGGGCUGUCCCACCAGCCCACUAAGGGCUGGUGGGCCACCCUCAAGGCCUAUGGGCUUCCCCGGGNUAUCAAGCAACAACACCUUCAUAAUCAGAAGACACUGACUAUCUUUGAUCAACUGGCUAGCCAACUAGAGGCUUGCUAGGGACGGUGUUUUGUCUAUGUAUCCACACAUGUAAAUGAGUCUUCAUUCAAUACAACUAUAGCAUGGAUAAUAAACGAGUAUCUUGAUACAGGAAUUAUAAUAAUAACUAUAUUUAUUAUUGCCUCUAGGGCAUAAUUCCAACAAAAUGUGCCAGAUCUAUGAGUUUUGGCGAGGUCCCCGUUAGCGGACACUCGAGUUGCCCGGACGUUCGGAUCGUAGUGCGACCCAGAAUUAGUGAGUAAUAGUAUAAAAAACUCGCGAGAAUAGGGUAAAACUGUGCAUUUUGAUGAGUUCCUCGUAACCGGACCCCGAGGUUCCCAAAAUGUUUGGAUCGCCCGAGGACCUAACAUCAAUGAAUAAUUGUAUAUAAAACUCGCCAGAAUAGGCUAAAUCUAUGAGUUUCGGGGAGGUACCCAUAACCGUACCCCAGGGUUCCCCGAACUCUCGAACCGCGGCGAGAUCCAAAAUAAGUAACUUGUAGUAUACAAAACACGCGAGAAUAAGACAAAUCUACGAGUUUUGACGAGUUCCUUGUAACUGGACCCCGUGGUUCCGCGGACGUUCGGGUUGCCCCGGGACUCAAAAUCAGUGAGUAAUAGUAUAGAUAACUAGAUAGAGUAGGCCAAAUCUAUGAGUUUUGAUGAGGUUCCUGUAAGCGGACCCUCGAGUUCACCUGACUUUCGGAUUGUAGUGGGACCAAAAUCAGUGAGUGAUAGUAUAGAAAUUUGCAAGAAUAGAGCAAAAUUAUGAGUUUUAACGAGUUCCUAGUAACUCGGCCCCCGGGUUCACGGAACGUUCGGAUCACCCCGGGACCCAAAAUCAAUGAGUAAUAGUAUAUAAAACUAGCAAGAAUAGGCCAAAUCUAUGAGUUUCUCAGAGGUACUCGUAAAUGUACCCCGGGAUUUCCCGAACGUUCGAACCGCGAUGAGGCCCAAAAUUAACGCUAAUAGUUUACAAAAGGCUAGAAUAUGCCAAAUCUGCGAGUUUUCACGAGUUCCCUAUAAUCAAACCCCGGGUUUCCCCGGACAUUCGGAUUGCGCGAGACCCAAAAUCAGUGAGUAAUAGUAUAGGAAACCGGCCAGUAUAGGCAAAAUCUGCGACUUUUGACGAGGUCCUCGUAACCGGACCCCCAGAUUCCACGGACUUCCGGGUCUCCCCGGUACUCAAAAUGAGUGAGUAAUAUUACAAAAAACUGUCCAGAAUAGGCCAAAUCUAUGAGUUUUGGUGAGGUCCGUGUAAGCGGACCCCGGAGUUCCCCGCACGUUCGAAUCGCAGUGGGACCCAAAACCAGUGAGUAAAAUUAUAGAAAACUGGCCAGAAUAGGGCAAAAUUGUAUGUUUUGACGAGUUCCUCGUAACCUAACCCCCAGGUUCCCCGAACAUUCGGAUCCCCCUAAGACCCAAAAUCAGUGAGUAAUAGUAUACAAAACAGGCCAGAAUAGGCCAAAUCUGUGAGUUUUGAGGAGUUCCGUGUAACCGUACCCCAAGAUUCUCUAGACGUUCGAAACACAGCGGGACCCAAGAUCAGUGAGUAAUAUCAAAGAAAACUGGCCAGAUUAGGCCAAAUCUACGAGUUCUGACGAGUUCCCCAUAACCGGACCCCGGGGUUCCACGAACGCCCGGUUGGCCCUUGGACUCAAAAUCAUUUAGCAAGAGUAUAGAAAACUGGUCCGGAUAGGCCAAAUCUAUGCGUUUUGGUGAGGACGCUGUAAUCGAACCAGAGUUCGCCAAACGUUCGGAUCCCAACGAGAUCCAAAAUCAGUGAGUAAGACUGUAAGAGCAAAGGAAACUAGCCAGAAUAGGCCAAAUGUGCGAGUUUUGAUGAGUUCCCCGUAACCGGACCCCGGAGUUCCACGGAUGUCCGGUCGCACCGGGACUCAAAAUCAGUGAGUGAUAGUAUGGAAAACUCGCCAGAAUAGGCCAAAUUUAUGAGUUUUGAUAAGGUCCCCGUAAGCGGAUCACGGAGUUGCCCAUACGUUCGGAUCACAGUGGGACCUAAAAUUAGUGAGUAAUAGUAUAGAAAAUGGCAAGAAUAGGGAAAAACUAUGAGUUUUGACAAGUUCCUUGUAACCGGAACCCGGGGUUACCGGAACGUUCACAUCGCCCCGGGACCCAAAGUUAGUGAGUAAUACUACAUAAAACUAGUGAGAAUAGGCCAAAUCUAUGAGUUUCGGCGAGUUACCCGUAAAGGGACCCUGGAGUUCCAUUAAUGAGUUCCCCGUAAUCGGAACCCAUGGUUCCCCGAAUGUUUGGAUCGCCACACGACCCGAAAUCAGUCACUCCACUGAUGCUGAAAACAGUUUAAAAAUAGUUUGCAGAGAGUUGUCCAAGCUUAAAAAGCAUAUUGACCAGAUGACUCGUGCUAUCUUCGAUUAUUGCUUGCGGAUCUUGUCAACUUUUUGCCUGCCAACAGUCAAUAUUAUGGCGCCUUAUGUGUUUUUGUUCUUUUGCAAGUCGUCGUACAUGCAACCUUCAGGACAACUGCUUGCUGAAUCUUAAAGCCGUGUACAUUCUGACUGAAUAGAUGUAUACAUCGAGCUUGUGCACCAUAAAGGUUGUUGGUGGGAAUAAAGAGUCGGUCACUCUUAUAAAAGAUGUCCUAGCCUUCCUUUCCACGAUUCCAAAAUAGAUCGGGGAGCUAAAUAGAUCAGCUGCUCAGGCUGGAGCCACUUAUUAUUUAAGUCGUACUCUGGCUUACUCAUCUGAACUUGACCCGACGAAAAUGUUGAAAGGAUUCUCGAAGCUGAAGGCUGAUGGCUCACCUUUCAAAGAAGAUGACUAUCGUCAGUGCAUCUCAGCAGCCCAAAAUUUGGCUAGCGAGCUUGUAAGUGGCAUGUCUUUGAAGAGUUAUCAUCCUACCUAUGACUUAAACAAUGCUAAGAUUCAACCACCUCAAUUAAAUCAGUUGGUGUGAUUCUGCAGUGUGACAAGCAAACCUUUGCUCCUGAUGUCGAUCCAUCACCAAUCUUUAAUGAGGACGCCAUGUUUGAAGCCUUGGCUCAUUGUAACUGGAAUUUGGAUGACCUUCAAAUAGUGGAGCCGGCGCUGCAAGGAGAAGACCACUCAAAGAUAUCCCAAGCCAAAGACCAAGACAAGUCUUAGUCUUGAAUUUUAUAAAAACUUUAAGCUUCCAUCAAUUGGGCGUGGAAUGCCUUGUAACAUAUUUGACUCACCUUUGUGUGUCGUUGCGAAUAUAUGAGCCAGAUAACUUCUGUAUGAUCUGGAUAUGUUUUCCUUCAAACUGAGCCAUCAUCGCUCGUCUUUUAUCCAUCUUACUUAUUAAAUAGAGAUUAUAUUUAUGCGUGUCAAUCCUUAAUGAUGACACCAAUAAAAUCCGGCUCAGUGAGACGUGGUUAAAUAGACCAGCUUUCGAAGUUCUAGUCUUACUUGAAUGAAGCGGGCAUAAUAGCCCAUGGUUUAUCCUUGCUUUCAAUAUGCCGGCUCUCACAUGACAUACCCAUGUUUUAAGCUUCCUAAUUUAGGGUCCAUAACAUAUUGAUUAGUCAAGAGUACAUGGAGUCACCUUCCUCGGAGUCGCCAAAGCAUACCAGCAUGUUUAACCAUUUGUGGCGUCUUUGCCGACCAAGAAGGUAAGAAAGCUAAACUAGAUGAGUUAGAAGCCCCCAAGUGACCUAUGAUCAAUAGAAAGGCCUGCCAUAGGAUUGAAAAAGAUAAUGCUAUUACUGCUAAACAACCUGGAGACUAUUGGUCCCCAGAUAAGCCGACUUAAUUCUUAUGAUAUAGUCUUGUAAUCCCCCAUGUAAUGUAAAUAACAAAGGCUCACACUUAAUUUUUAGCAAGAAGAUGAGCUUUAAUAAAUCCAAUAUAUCAUAGAGGUUUUACAAGGAAUAAUGAGCCGGUAGCUCUAUGUAUAAUAAGGCCAUAGAUGAGCAAUGUUCCAAGGGUGAGUUCUUUCUGCUUCAGUGGUGUUCUUACCGGGUCGUAAAUCAAUCACGUAAUACGAACCGUUGUGGAGAUUUUUCGUGACAAUAAACGGUCCUUCCCAGGGUGGCGAAAGUUUAUGCAUCCCUGUUUGGUCUUGGAUGAGCCGAAGAACCAAGUCACCUUCUUGAAAGGUUCGACUUUUAACCCUACGGUUGUGGUAGCAACGCAGGUCUUUUUGGUAUAUUGCUCACCUAGCUGCCGCUAAGUCUAGCUCCUCCUCCAAGGCAUCCAUAGAAUCUUGCCUUGCUGCUUAAUUGUUGACCUCAACAUAAGCGGUGACUCUAGGAGAGUCGUGUGGAAUAUCUCUUGGGAGUACCGCCUCAGCAUCGUAGACCAGGAAAAAAGGCGUAUACCCAGUGGAUCUGUUUGGAGUAGUAUUAAUCCUCCAAAGAACUGAAGGAAGUUCCUCCACCAAUCAUCCUGUAGUUUGUAUCAAUGGGACCAUAAGUGGGGGUUUAAUCCCUCUCAAAAUUUCUUAAUUUGCCCUUUCAACCUACCCGUUAGAUUGUUGGUGCGCCACAACCACUAAAUCAAGCCGGAUAUGUUCCUUGUGGCAAAAUUGUUCCAUAGCCCCCUUUGACAAAUUAGUACCAUUGUAUGUGACAAUACUAUGGGGAUAACCAAAAUGAUAGAUUAGUUUAAAAAAAAAUUCACCGUUGUUUCUGCAUCGCAAUUACUCACAGGUUCUACCUCAACCCACUUGGUGAACUUAUAAACCGCCACUAGGAGGUGGGAAUUUUUAUGUGGUGACAAUUUGAAUGGUCCAACCAUAUCAAGCCCCGAGACCGCGAACGACCACGUGAUUGGGAUCAUGCAUAAUUCUUGAGCCGACACGUGAGCUUGUCGCACAAAUUUCUCACAACCAUCACAUUUGUGCAUAAGAUCUUCCGCAUCUGCAUGAUCCGUCAACCAAUAAAAUCCAUGUCGAAAAGCCUUUGCUACAAAAGAUCUUGAGCCAGCAUGAUGCCCACAAUAACCAGUGUGGAUUUCACUUAAAAUUUCUUGCCCCUCUUUGGGAGCGACACAUCUCUGGAAUACACUAGUACUGCUCAGCUGAUGUAGCUCGCCUUUAAUGAUAGUCUUAGAUUUAGACCGACGUACUAUAUGGCGAGCCUCAGUCUCCUCAGAUGGGUGUUUUCCUCUAGUGAGAUAUGUAAAGUAUGGCACCGUCCAUUCUGGGGUCACAUGUAGAGCUGUCACCAGUUGUGACUCUGGAUAUGGAAUUGCUAAGUCUUAUUUAGACGGUAAUUUUACUAAGGGAUUGUGAAGAACAUCCAGAAAAAAAUUGGGGGAACCGGCUUUCCUGCGACCCAAGCCAUGAUAAGGCAUCUGCUGCUUUGUUGAGCCAGCGGUCUAUAUGAUCGACUUGGAAUCCAGGAAAAUAACCCGCCACUUCAAUAACAGCUCGCCGGUAAGCCGCCAUCAAAGGGUCUUUGGAAUCCCAGGUCCAUGAAACCCAUUGUGCCACUAGAUUUGAGUCGCCCAGACAUCUUAGCCAGCUAAGGCUCAUUUCCUUAGCCAUUAGUAACCCAUUCAAUAGAAUUUGUUACCUCGUGGAGAAGUUAACAUGACCCCGACCCCAGAUCUUUCUAACUCUCUGGACCCAUCGAAGUGUAGGAUCCAAUACGUAUUUUCUGGGUUAUCUUGUGGUAUUUGCAACUGCGUCCAAUUGUUGAUGAAAUCUACCAAUGCUUGAGACAUGAUAGCUAUCUGAGGCCUGUAUUUCACCUGAUGUGGAUAAAGUUAGAUUGCCCACAUAGCAAUUCGUCCAAUUGCUUCACGAUUGUGUAUUAUGUCACCAAGAGCUGCUUAACAAACCACUAUGAUCGGGUGCUCCUGGAAGUAGUGUUUCAAUUUCUCACUCGCCAUAAAGACCCAGAAGACGAGCUUCUGCCAGUGUGGGUAUCGUUGCUUGGACAGGGUUAAAACCUCAUUGAUGAAAUAAAGUGGUCGCUCGACUCGGUAUUCCUUUCUUUCCUCCUCCCAUUCAGCAACGACUGUAAUACUUACUGCCUUAGAGUUGGUAGUAAUGUACAUGAGCAUGGGCUCUUUAUCUGCCGGGGCGGCUAGAAUUGGAGGCUUGGCCAGCUCCUUCCUGAGUGCUUCAAAGGCUUCGUCGACCGCUUCAGUCGAGACAAAAUUCUCUGUUUUCCUCAGCAACUGAUACAAAGGUAUCGACUUCUCCCGAGGUGGCUUAUAAAUCGGCUCAAAGUUGCGAUACAUCCCGCGAGACAUUGAACCUAAUUUAUGUUAGCCUACUUGCCGAGUUAAGUCACUGCCUUGAUCUUGUCUGGAUUGGCCUCAAUUCCUCUUUCUGAAACAAAUAAACCUAGUAGCUUACCAGCAGGGACCCCGAACACACACUUUCCUGGGUUUAGCUUCAUCUAGUGUACUCGUAGGCUGUCAAAUGUUUCUUUAAGAUCAUCGAGAAGUGUUUCUUUCUUCUUAGACUUCACCACGAUGUCAUCAACAUAAGCGUGAAUGUUGCGUCCAAUCUAUGGGUGAAGGAAAUUCUGCACACAUCGUUCUUAAGUCGCCUUGCGCUUAUUACUCCAAAUGGCACAGAAACAUAGCACAAGGCACCAAAAGAGGUUAUGAAAGCCGUCUUCUCCCGAUCCUCCUUGGCCAUAUUAAACUGAUGAUAGCCUGAAUAUGCAUCUAACAAUCAUAAUCGCUUGCAACCCGCCGUAGAACCAAUGAUCUGAUCAAUGCAUGGAAGGGCGAAAGGAUCCUUAGGGCAAGCUUUGUUGAGGUCCGUGUAGUCAACUCACAUGCGCCAGGUGCCAUUUUUCUUUAGAACGAGCACCAAGUUAGCUAACCAUUCAGGAUGAAAUACUUUAAUGAUGAACCGAGCAGCUAGGAGUCAGGCUACUUCUUCUCCAAUGGCCUUGCGUCUCUCUUCGUUAAAAUGGUGGAGGUAUUGGCGCACUGGUUUCAUCUUUGGAUCCUCAUUAAGAUGGUGCUGAGGGAGUUCUCUCAGUACUCCGGGCAUGUCAGAAGGUUUUCAUGCAAAGAUGUCCCGAUUCUCACAGAUGAACUCGAUGGGCGCGCUUUCCUAUUUAUGAUCCAGGCCGGUCCCAAUAGUGAAUUGUUUGGACGCGUCGCCUAGGACAAAGUCAACCUGCUUAGUAUCUUCGGCUGUCUUAAACUUGAGAGGCUCUUUGGACUCUAUAGUUGGCUUCUUGAGAGGACUCAUAUCAGUCAGGUCAACAUUAGCUUUAUAAAACCUCAAUUCCUCGACAGCGCAAGCUGACUCUGCAUAGGCUACAUCCCCUUCUUCACACUCUUGAGCCGUCAUCCUAUCUCCCUUCACCAUGAUGGGACCGUUGGGACCUAGCAUCUUGAGUUUGAGGUAAACAUAGCAGGGACGGGCCAUGAAGCGUGCAUAAGCCGGUCUUCCGAAGAGGGCAUGAUAAGGGCUUUGUAUUUUUACGACUUCGAAAGUCAAAGGCUCGACCAUGUAAUUGUAUUCAUCCCCAAAGAGUACUCAAGCCUGAUUCACACAACCGGAUAAGCCGACUUUUCGGGAAUGACGCCAUGGAAAAACAAUGGUCGAAGUUUUCAAACUGCUCUUAGGAAGAUUCAUCCGCCGAAAGGUGUCAUAAUACAAGUUGUUGAUGCUACUUCCUCCGUCCAUGAGGACUGUUGAGAGUUUAUAUACGUAGACUUGAGGUGCUACCACUAAAGCUAGCUCGCCGGGAUUGUCAACCCAGGGUGGGUGAUCCUGACGACUCCAAGUAAUUAACAGCUCAGACAAACACAAGUAUUCUAGAGCUGUCGGCUCAGCCAUGCUAGUAGCCCUCGUUUUAACCUUUGAAUCUCGUCUGCAAGCAUUGGUGGUAAAGACGUGAUACUGGCCACUGCUUGAUUGUACAAAUCUCCAUGUGACCCGCCAGGGGAAUCCCGACUCCAACGCGUAUUGGCGUGUCUCUCAAGAGUCCUCCUCUCAAAUCCAUGCAUGAUAUAACAGUCUUCCCAUGCAUGUUUGGCUGGUUUUUCCUUAGUACCAUGCUUUGGGAAGGGCGCUUCGAGUGCGGCCUCGAAAUAGAACGUCUUGUUCCUCUAUCGGUCCUUAGGGCGACCGUUCCGCCGAUGGGUUUUGGGGCGAGUGUUGGUAGCAGCCGCAAAUUUCAAAUCACAUUCAAAACGCUUCCGCUUGUUGUCACUUUGGCCCCUAGCGUCCCUGUCGUUAUGGUGAUGAGAUGACUUGACGUCCUUUGUCAUGGCCUGGCUUCAAUCAAUCCUGCUCCAACUACGGCGAGCCGGCUCGACGAGGUUGCAGCCGUCGUCCGGCUCGAGUGCUGUUUCGUUGAUCUUACCGAUUAAGAUGUGAAUAUUGCCGAAGGGAACCCGAUACCUGUACUUGAUUGAGUCGGCAUCAGGACCCAGUUGGAACCAUCAAUGUAGAUUUUGCCACGAAGACUUUUGGUCAUCUGACACGCCACAUAGCUCUCGAAUCCCGGAAGUGCUCCCUCUCAAAACUCAACUCCACCUCGCGAUAGCCCCACGGUGGACACCAACUGUCGUGGUUUUGUAACGACAGAUGUCCUCGUGGAUGGACUUAGUGGUGAGUCCAUUGUUGCGAUGUGGCAACUUGAAGGAGUUGAUUGGGAAAUGAUAGGCGAAUUUACCCAGGUUUGGCCCCUCCAAUGGAGGUAAAAGCCUACGUCCUCCUUUGUGUUUGUAUUGAUGGGAAUCUCGAUUACGAACGUGCGGAAUCACUAACCUAGAUCUCGACAGUUUCUUACUUGAUCCUNNNNNNNNNNNNNNNNNNNNNNNNNNNNNNNNNNNNNNNNNNNNNNNNNNNNNNNNNNNNNNNNNNNNNNNNNNNNNNNNNNNNNNNNNNNNNNNNNNNNUGAUCGCGGGAUUGUUCGCAGGGAGGAUCGAGGGACGUGAGGACGUUCCACUACAUCAACCGCGUUCACUAACGCUUCUGUUGUACUGUCUACAAGGGUACGUAGAUCACUCAUCCCCUCUCGUAGAUGGACAUCACCAUGAUAGGUCUUCGUGCGCGUAGGAAUUUUUUUGUUUCCCAUGCGACGUUCCCCAACAUAAACUACUUUUGUACCCAUCCACACAGACCCCACCGCUAGCCAAGACAUUGCCUCCACCUUCGAGUGUGGCUAUCGGUGUCACAACUUAGGUCAACAACUCGACACCGAUAUUUUCGUUUGCGGGGGCACCGACGAACAUGGGAUCGAAUCAUUCCCCGUCCACCAUAGUUUAUGUUCUAAAAUAUAAUAUUGUUCUUCGUAUUUUUCUAAAUUUAUUUCAGAUUUUUCGACGAUGUGUGUUUAAUAGAGGAGACGUCCCCGUCGAUUAGGAAAACAUCUAUGACGACUUUGUCAAUCUUAAAAUGAUGUGCCGGCUCAUUAUUUUGAAAAUGUUUAUAGAGGUAAUGAUGCGCAUGUAUAUAUAAGGAUGAAUGUAUGCACGUAUAUAUGGGUGUCUUCGUCUAUACCGUGUUCUCGAAACAAAAGAUCAAAUCAAAGGGGAAACGUACAAUGCAGAAGAAGUUGUAUGUACGAAAUCGUAUUUUUUUUUUUAAAAAACAUUGACUUUAUCGAUCACUUAACAAAGUUACAAACAGUGUUCCGGAUACAAGCGGGAGCACAAUGAAAAACAAUAAGGCUAGAUAAAUUCUUACAAUGCUUAGUUAACAAAUGAACAACUACAUAAACUUGUUGAUGAAUACGCUUAAACUACUGGUGUACCCAUCCACACAGACCUCACCGCUAGCCAAAACAUUGCCUCCGCCAUCGGGUGUGGCUGUCGGUGUCAAAACCCGUUGAUCUCGAGGAGGGGGUCCGAACUGUGGAUCUUGGGUAGAUGGGUAACAAGGGACGAAGGAGACGGUGUUUAUCCAAGUUCGCGUCCUCUUGAUAGAGGUAAAACCCUACGUCCUGUUGUUGUUGUAUUGACGAAGUAGUACAUAAUACAUAGCUGAUCUACCUCGAGAUCGAUUGUUGUGGUCGAAAGCCCUAACCGUAAUGAGCUUAAUGUGUCCUACGAACUAUGCCCCCUGGUUUAUUUAGACACCAUGGAUACUAGGGUUACACAAAGUCGGUUACAUCAAUAAAAGAACUAUGGCCCCCGGUAAAAAUAUUGUCUUUUCUACACAAUAUAAUAAUUGCAGAUGCACACAUAGAUGAACAUACACUCACCUAUUGCUUUUAUGCUUCAAAAGAUAAUCUGGUAAACACUCAAGCUCUCUCAAGAUGGCUUUUGAAUUGGAUGGGAAAGAGUAGAAAGCAAAAUGAGACUAGAUCUCAAAGGAUUGACAUGGAUGGUUGGAGUAGAAAGCCUUUCGAAAUCAGUAUAAGGAGGUGAAGUUCUCUCUGAAAACAUAUGAUGAGUGGAAUUUGCUUCGACUGGAUAGGUGGGGCAUAAAUAGGAGGGGUCAGAAAUCUGAUUGCUGCAAACUUUAUUACACAACUCGGAAGCCCCCACGUGAACAAAGAAUACAAAUUUCCGAUUGUUCUGAAGGUUCGACCAAAGAUCAUUCAGAGGCUUUGAGGGGUACACUUCAGCUGUGGCACACUCUCUAGUUGUCUUCUUAGAAAUUCCAAUUGGGUUGCUUCUGAAAUUUUGACGUGGCAACAAAAGAUUUCCCAAAUGUUUUGAUAAUUUUAAAUGGAGCAUUUGGAAGCUCUGAAUGAAAGAGUUAUGCAACAGCUAUGUGUGGUCAAAGGUUCGGCGAUUCCGACUAGAAGAGCUCGGAAGCUCCAAAGUGAAUGGAACUAGGUAGAUAUAGUGGAUGGAUCUUUGAAGGAAUUUGAGGGUUUUGAAGUUUGAUUCUAAGCACAUCUGAAAGAAAUUCUUCAGAACAUGCUCAUCACAUUUUGAUAGUACCAACAUGCCUAUGGACUCAAUGUGAUCUUGGACCACCAAAAUCAAAAUGAGGAGUCCUACUGCUUGCCAACACUUGUCUUGAUGCAAUUUGCAGGGGUCACCUUCUAUUUUGUUGUUACACGCACAAGUACCUUUUUAUAAAAUAAACUUGUUUGAACCAUUAGUUCAUUGAGAUAUGUUUUCAUUAAUUACCGAAAUCCACCAAUGAAAUUAGAUGCACUUUCAAAGUGUUGUUUAGGACAAUGCUAAUGAUAGUUUGUGUUUGAAUUUGACCCCUUCUUGCAAAUGGAAUUCAAAGAGCAUUUGCAAACUUUACUUCCAGACAAUCAAGAAAUCUCCCAACAACCAGCCAAGACAAAUUUUGUUCAUAGGUAAAAAAUCUUCUUAAGCAGGCAUAGGUAAAAAAUUCAACCUUCUCUUGGAGGAUAUUAAGGAAAGCUCUCCCCGCUGGGCUCAUAGUAGGCAUGUACAUAGUUCAUAUAAAUCAAACUUGUUGCGGGUGUAGCCAGCUUGAAGAUGAUAUGCUACUCUUCCCUAUACUCCCUUUGGUCCUUUUUACUCCACAUAUAAGAUUUGAUUGAAGUCGGACUUAGUAAAGUUUGACCAACUUUAUAGAAAAAAUGUCAACAUUCAUAAUACACAACCAAUAUCAUUAGAUGCACCAUAAAUUCAAUUUUUCACAUUGUUUAGCUUUAGUAUUGUAGAUGUUGAUAUUUUUUCAUAUAAAUAUAGUCGAAUUUUAUAAAGUUUGACUUCAGUCAAAUUUUAUAUGCGGAGUAAAAAGGUUCGGAGGGAGCAUGUUUUUUUCUAAAGCAACCUAUUUUUCUAGCCCUUGAUACUUAGGUCUGGUACUUUUGCAUUCAGUCAUGACAACAGAUGAAUCAUAAUUCAACAAUUACUCAUUUACUUUUUAUGAACCACCCCUAUAAUUAUGUGAAAAACUUGUUUACUUUUUUAUGGUGCCUUUGUAAGGCCGGAGAACGAUCAUUUUUUCUACAGGAAAAAAAUAUCUCCCCCCUAGGUACAUUAGAUGGAGAAUGCAAUCACUGCGUACACCACUUACUCUGAUGAGCAGGACCAGCCUCUUGAGAGAAAAAUUAGCUUCAAUGACUCUUAACAAUGCUCUGCCUUUCCAAUGUUGCUCUAUUUCUACAAAUCUUAUUGUGGGGCCAAAGAUCUUUUUGGACGCUUCAUAGAUGAGCUCCAAUGUCCAUGGAAGGUUGUAGUUUGCAGCAUUUAGAUUACGCAUUUAUAUUCGAAUCCUUGAUGAAGAAGUCUUACAUGGUAUAAUGAUCGAAGCCACAAUGAAUGCAGCUUUUAUCCGCUUGUGGUUGAAGGCAGGACAUUACAUCUAGUUGUAGUCAUUGCUGGAAACUCAACAUUUUGAGACCUACUUUUCUUAUGAACAACCUAUUUGUGAUCAAAAUUGUUGCCGCCAAAGAUAACAAUUCCGUUUCUGCUCGUUGGGACAUUGAGAAGCACGUUGUUGUGUUUUUCUACAACUUCACAUAACUCAACCCGUCAAUCUUUCGUAUCAAAAGUGAUCUCAAUAGAGCUGCGCACGACUAUGCUCAUCGGGUUCUAAACAGAGGUGUGAAACAUAUUUUUCAUGCAUUAAACUUGUUUAUUUUCAGCUGCAUUCCCAGGGUUUGUUUGCCCAAUAUUAUUAUUCACGGCAUAACUUGUACUUCAGCCAUGUUUAAAUGAAAUACGGCGCUUCACGCGCUCCCUCUUGCUAAAAAGAUAAACAUUAGUCACGGAACACAAAAUAGAAAAGUGUGAAACAAAAUGAUCAAUGUGCACAAGUAAAUGCCUGCACUGAGCUGAAUUAAAAAAAAGAAGUUCACAGAACUUGAAAAACAAACGGGAAGAAUAGGAAGAAAAAAUAAUCUUAUCUCAUCUUCUCCCUCACACACCUUCCCGCUCCAGGCUCUCCACGUGACCUCUCAGCUCGCGGUGAGCACCUCACAUCCCCGCGCGCGCACAGUCGCGCAGAGCCACUGCCCAGCUCCAGCCGCAUGUCUCUCCUCAGCUCCCCCACGCCGUUCGGCGCGGCCACCGCCGCCCGCCUUCGCCUCCCGCUCCCGGGCCGCCGCGCCGCGCUGCACGUGGCGCUCGCGCGCCGGACCGGCGUGUCGUCCCGCACGCAGCGGCGCCUCGAGGAGCGCGGCGGCAAGAAGCGCCGCGGCGGCGUCGAGANNNNNN
Molecule: long non-coding RNA, 62212 nt
Filed under: Hordeum vulgare
Lineage: Eukaryota; Viridiplantae; Streptophyta; Magnoliopsida; Poales; Poaceae
Description: long non-coding RNA (HVUL_LNC008571)
Source: RNAcentral